CCUCUAAGGUUUUACCUUCUACAAAGCUAUAGCACCUACAGGUGAUCCGCUUUUUCUUCUUCUAGAUCCCCCUGUGUGUGUAUAAUCUUCUUCUAGAUCCCCCUGUGUGUGUGUAUAAUCGACAGACAUUGUCCUUCUAAUUUCUUUUUCCAGUAGAUGAUUGUGGACAAAGUUUCCAAUCCAUGCCUUUUUGCUAUACUAAUUUUUUUGGGUGAUGCAGCAUAAGUUAUAUAAUUGCUGCACUUAAGUAACUGAUUUAUCUGGCAAUAGAUUGUCACAAUGAUAGCUCUAACCUUUGUGCCAACAGUCUGAAAAUUGUAGCAUUAUGCUUUAAUAUUUUUUAAUGUUCUUUAGGUGGUUGUUUCUCAGAUGUAGUACACUUGGCAUAGCUUUUCAGAAGACAACAGUUCAGUAGGAAGCAAGUGAAUGAAACAUUUUCGUUGUUUUCUACUCCAUAGUUAUGUACAAACACACAAGUGGUGCUUAAACAUUUUGUUGCUAUUUAUCCUUUCAUGAGCCGGAUGUGCCAUUGACGGCGGUGGCAAGCCUGGAUUAGUUGGAUUCAGAAGGUGGAUUGAAUUACCAAGUUGUUUUACCACCAUGAUAUUUUUUUAAAAUUUUGAACAUUUCUUCAAUUUGUGAAUAAAUUUUAAAAAACACUUUCUUGCAUUUCUUAAUAAAUUUUCAAAAUCAUGCGAUGAAAUGUGAACAAAAUAUGGUCAUAGCUAUUGAAGAUUAUGAUUUUUUUUCUCCCGUUGCAACGCACGGGCCCUUUUGCUAGUAUUAUUUAAAAAAUGUCGUGCACACAACGUUUCUUGGCCGAUAUGCACAUGACACUCUACUUGAGUGGGGUAGAAGUGCUGGCCAACUGCAUCCGAUGGUUGCCACAGCGUGUCGACCAUAAAUCAGACACAGUUUUGUGGUUCUCAUGGCACUGUUCUAUUAUUUUCUCCCUUCCCCUCUCAUCUUCUUGAUUUUGAAUAGUUUAUAUAUUAAUUCAAGCUCAGCCUUACCUUCAAGCCUUAAAAUUAUUGUUCUGCCAGGUUUAGACAGAGCUGGUGGACAGGAAGCCAAUGGGCUACAUUUUAGCUCUUUAAUUUGUUCAUGCUUGUCUUAUGCUGAUAAGUUUUUUCUUCCUUUGUUUCCUAGGAAAAAGUAAUCAAACAAUCCCACUCGCAACUGCAACAUAGCAUUAGUUACACACGAACGCUCAUCCCCUCUUGAAAAUUUCCAAUUAGUUUAGUACUACCUUUUUAUGCAGGUAAACAAUCUGUUGAUUGUGUGUAGGAUAAGCUUUGACGUGUGUUGGGCGUUGUGUUGAAAUAGAGGACAUGGACGCGUUGUUGUGUGUGGGAGACGAGGGUGUGUGUGUUUGGCGUACAGGCCUAUGAUAUAUUUUAUUUUUCCCGUUGCAAUGCACGGGCAUGUUUCCUAGUCCCUAAUAAUAAAGCACGAAUUGACUCCAUGGGUUCAUCGUCACAAUACGCUUUCUUCAUAUGAAUUUACGCUUUUAGUUUAAAUUUAAAACAUAUACGCGAGGUGGUACUAAAGCGUUGAUAGAUUUCGCUCGGAUCGUUCGGCACCAAGAAAACGAAUGAAACAACCCAUCGAGAAAAGGCCAAGCGAAGAAACAGCCCAUAUCAACCGGGGAGCCUCUCCACCGUCAUGUUCCACAUGGGCACGCAGUUGAACUGGUACUUGACGCCGGUGAACGAUGAGAAGCCGAAGUAGGCCCGCUUGCCGAGGAGCACUGCCGAGAGGUCCAGCGGCGCAUCGAGCAAGGCCACGCCAUGGCGACGUACGCCCGCGCGCGCCGCGACGCACCGUCGUAGUUGACCUAGACCAUGUAGAAGCCGUCGUUGACCGUGGUGUCGAUGGGAGCGAGCUGGAUGCCGAAGGGCGUGAGCGAGGUGGCGUGGGUGCAGCGGACGCCGUUCACGUCGAGGCCGACGUGGUUGUCAUCGAGGUUGUAGGGCUGCUUCACCCUGUCCAGCUCCACGACCGCGAACCCGUUGGCGGGGUUGCCGUCCAUGGACGCGUUGGUGAGGCCUAGGUACCCGCCGUGGCUGCCGGGGGGCAGGCCGCCGCCGCCGUUGCUGGACGCGACGGCGAACGCGAGGCCUUCGCCCUUCCUUGUCGCGUUGGUGCGGUAGAGGUUGAUCCGGAACACGGUGGAGAAGGAGGCGACGUACCUGCCACCGGCAGGUUCAGAGGCCCACAAGACGAACGGGGAGGAGAGGAAGACGCUGCCGGUCUGGUUGACGAGGAAGUUGUUGGGCCCGCUGGCGCUGUUGCUAUCCGGGGUGAUCUGGAGCGUGUUCUGGGUGACGCUGGAGUUGCUGGCGAAGGUCAGGUUGGCGGGAAGCAGCACCAGCACCAUGACCACCAGGGGUCACCGUUGCAAACGCCGCGAGGAGCCCAGGACAUCUCGCUAGACGCCGGGGAGGAGGAUUCCGGAAAGGCUCCCCGGGCUUCCUCUCGCUGGAGGCAAAGCCAGGCAACUGCCGGCCUUCUAUUUCACUCUCUGCUGCAUCUUGUUUUGGCUGGCGGUGGUCGUCAUCGGUGUGACCGUGCUCACCGUGUACCUCGUCUACCGCCCGCAGCCGCCGAAGCUCCGGUGACGGAUGCGUCCCUGAACACCGGGUACGUGGACGAGCUGACCGUCCCCAGCGGCCCGGCCCACGGCCUCGCGCUCAACGCCGACCCUCACCGCCCUGGUCGCCAUCACACAGCCAGUAUCGAUCAACGAUUCGUUGGUUUAUCCUGGUUGCGAAAGUUUGAUCAACCCUUCCACUAUCGUGCAUCCAUAGAAUAGUCCCACCUCGCUUCAUUAGAUCGAAUCAGUCCAGUUUAUAUACAUGUUGCUUAGCAAAUCAACAAGCAAGCUUGGAAAUCAAACAAGUAGAGAGCAAGAAUAGGGAUUGGUGUGUCCAGAUGGCGAGCUCCGGCGGAGGCUGGGUGAUGCAGCGAGGCGGGAUGUGUGCUGCCGCGGCAGCGAGCGAGCGAGCAGGGGGCAAAGGUCAAUGGGGGGAGGCCCGAGGGGGAGGCCGGAUGUGUGCCGCGGCAGCGAGCGAGCAGGGGGCAAAGGUCAACGGACGGACGGAGCAAGAUGGAGAGGGAGGCGUGCGGGUGCGGGGGAGAGAGAAGUUGAGCAGCAAACUAGCCUGAUCAAGUCUCACACGUUGGUAGCUCACCUGAAACGGUGUCCAAAAAAAAGGUUUACCAGAGACCAACCCUGAAUUGCAUUGGAAUAAUUUCUUAAAUAUUUGUUUGUUCUUAUCAUUUUAAUCUUAAAAUAAGAUUAAAGUGCUUGUGCACAAUGGGGUGGAGCAUUUCCAGAAUGGUCAAAAACUCAGUUUGGCCACAGAGUACUUUAAAGCAAUCUAGGGACAGCCUGCCCCCUCCUUGAACACAGUGGAUGUGCACUCCCUAUACACUCCGCUUGAUUUAUCUGCCCUGACGGCACAGUUUUCCUGGGCUGAAAUCGUGCAAGCCAUUAGUGGCUCACCCAAUAACAAAAGCCCGGGACCUGACGGUUUCACCAACGAGUUUUACAAGACUUUCAAGCUGCUGCUAAAGGAUGACCUGUUCCAUUUUUUAGGAUUUCGACAAAACUGAAGUUGAUAUUGCUGGUAUUAACUCUACUCUCAUCACCCUGCUACCCAAAAAGGAUACGCCCUUGGAGAUGUGGGAUUUCAGACCUAUUUCUCUCGUACACAGUAUACCCAAGCUGGUUUCUAAGGUUCUGGCAGGCAGACUGAAAACUUGGAUCCCUCUCUUGAUUCACUCCCUCCAGUCUGGCUUCUUGCGGAGCAGAUCGAUCAUAGAAAAUUUUACCCUGGCUGCCGAAAUGAUCCAAUAUGCAUACAAACGGAAAUUGCCGGUCAUUGCUCUGAAGUUGGACUUCCAUAAAGCUUUUGACAGUGUCAGUUGGUCCUGUUUACACAAAGUACUUGAAGCCAGAGGUUUUCCUCAGUUGUGGAUUAGUUGGAUUCAUACGCUUUUGUCAACUGGCAGCUCUAAAGUCCUUCUUAAUGGCGAGAUGGAUGCUCCCAUCCGGGCUAAGCGAGGGUUUCGGCAAGGCGACUCCUUAUCCCCUUACCUCUUCAUUAUUGUUACAGACGUACUGCAGAGAAUGUGCUGCCAUUUGUUCCAGGAUGGCUCCCUGGUUCACCCACUCGGUUCGGACAGUUUCUUCCCGGUUCUGCAAUACGCGGAUGACACGCUGAUCCUUUUUCAAGGCACUACGCAGCAGGCUGCAGUUGUUAAGUCAGCCCUCACAGCUUUCUGUGCGUUUUCUGGGCUCACCAUAAAUUUCCACAAGAGCACUCUCGUACCUGUUGCUGUGGACUCCAGCACCGCUUCGGCCAUUGCCCAGAUCCUAGGCUGCCCCGUUUCAUCCUUUCCAUGCAACUACCUGGGUCUGCCUCUCUCUCUGCACAAAAUUACGCACGGUAUGUUACUGCCUAUUAUACACAAGGUUGACCGUCGUCUUUUAGGCUGGUUAGCUACCUUCUUAUCCUUAGGGGGUAGACUGACUCUCAUCAACUUAGUUCUCACUGGUAUACCAAGCUACUUCAUGUCAUGCUUUGCUUGGCCCAAGGAGUCUCUGGGGAAAUUAGAAAGUCUCUUACGUGCUUUCUUCUCGCAAGGCAAGAACAAAGUCAAGGGUGGCCAAUGCCUAGUGGCUUGGGAUACAGUAUCGUUGCCUCGUAUCAAUGGAGGGUUGGGAAUCCGUCAGCUGCAAGCUCACAAUCAAGCUAUGAUGUGCAAGUUUGUCUCCAAAGUUGUACAAGGUUCAGACAUACCAUGUUAUAACUGGUUUGCCACACAUUACUGCCGGGCUGUUCUUCCACAACGUGCUAGUAGCAGAGACACUACCAUCUGGAAAGGGUUCAGAGAUCUCGUUCCUAUGGUCAUCAACUCCUCUAAAUGUGUUCUGGGGUCUGGGCUUUUGAUUUCCUUCUGGAAGGACCAAUGUCUAGAAGUGGGCCGUUUAUGCCAGCUCUUCCCGACGUUGUAUUCCUUCGCGGCACAGCCAGCUUGCUCAGUACAAUCACAGCAUUCUAAUGGUUCAUGGGCUAUUCAGCUCCACCCUAAUCUCUCACAAACGGCCUCAACUGAGCUAGCUGCCCUGCAGGUUUUGUUGAUGGGCAUUGCUCCAAACUAACUGCAUGAGGACAAACGGUCUGCUUCUGUGAGCUCAGGACAGCUUUGCACUGGAUACUUCUACAGGCUACUCACCUUCCUAGGGGUUUUGACAACCUUUCACACUUGGGUUUGGGAUGUGGUGAUCCCCCUCAAACACAGAAUCUUCCUAUGGCUUGCUUUCCGUGGCCGCCUAAACACUAAGGAUAACAUGGUAAAGAAAGGCUGGUCGGAGGCUGCCCCGUUUGCACAUUGUGACAGUUGCCCCGCUGUUGAGUCAAUCGAUCACUUACUACUACGCUGUGCACCUGCCAGCGUUCUUUGGGGCAAGAUGGAGCUGGACGUUUUGGCUUGCUCGGCUACUAAUGUUCUUUCUUUUGUGGAGCAAGCACAACACCAGAUCAGUUUCAGGCACAAAUGGAAUGUGGCUUUCGCGGCUUGUGCUAUUGCCUUGUGGCAUGCUAGGAAUGACAGAGUCUUCAACUCCAAAAUCUGGUCUGUAACAUAUACAUGCCUUUAUGCAGCAGACAUGCUCCGUCUUUGGAGUUUCAGAACUCCAAAUCAGCGCACCAGGGAGGUUCUCCAGGUUUGGAGACAAAAGCUACUGCAUAGUGUGUAGACGAAUGAUGUAAUCCUUCUCCCCUCCCUUCCCCUUCCUCUUCCUCUUCCUUCCUCUUUUCUUCUUUCAGCCUGCUUGUAUGUUGCACCUUGGUGCACCAAACAAGUUGUACUUGUACUGAUACUUGUUACUUCAUCAGGCUCUGGCCUAUUUUGAAAUAUAAGGUCGGCAGCCUGCCACCUUCUUUGUUUCAUUUUGUUCCAAACAGUGAUUUCACUUUUUUGACUCAUCAUUUUGUGUUGUUCAACUGUCUUGGAUUGGCUUGCUUCUAAUCGAUACCUUAAUAAACACACCAGCUACAACGCUUUCAGAUACAGUAUGUGAGACCAACUGAUUUUACUUUUUUCAUUUGUUGGAGACGUACUUUAAGGCUAGAGGGACAUCAAGCUCGGAGACAUCAACUCUGAUUCUUGAAGUGUAUGGAGGCUGCCUUUGUAGGACAAAACUACCAUGGAUGCUUUUAUUAAACUAGAUGAUACCCCGCACGUUGUUGCGGGAAUAUUUGCAAUACAUUUCGAUGAUAUGUGAUUUCUAUGGAACGUGAAUAGUGAUACUACAAAAACUAAAAUUGCAAAUCCAUAUGCUUUAUUGUGUUUGAUUAAUGUAUUGUAAAAUAUCUAAUAUAUGUUUGCAUGUUGAGGUGGACAUUUUCAUGUGCAUGAAUGCAUGUUGUGAUGGGCCUUUUGUCAUGCAUGUUGCUUGAUGAUGUGGCAUACUUGCAUGUUGAGAGAAAUAUGUUAGUGGGGGCUAGCUAUUUAGAUAUAGAAGAUUAGGCCAUGUUGACAUCGUAGCCCUUUUAGUUUCAAUUGCAUUUUAAAAGUCCUUAUCUCAUUUUAGUAUAUAAUUUCAAAGUUUUUUUAUCUCUACUGUGAGUCUUGAAAACGUGUUCAUUUAGUAGGAGGAUGAGUCCAUGCGGGGAUAAUACUUUUUCAUCGGUUGCAACGCAGGGGCAUAUUUUAAUUAUUGUAAUCUAUCCUAUAAUAAUAAAGCACGGAUUGACUCCGUGGGUUCACCGUCACAAUACGCUUCUUUCCGUGAAUUUACGCUUUCAGUUUUUUCACCUAUAUUAUUUUCUACAUCCGAGGUGGUACUAUCCACCAUCGCAAACUUCGUGGCUGGCCUCCUUAUCUUCCUUUCAUACGUCGUGUGCUUGGUUUCCGGAAAUCAAUCGCUACGUAUGGGCCGGCCCAGUUAAUUAGGAGCCACGGCUGAUCGCAUGACUAAGCAGCCAGCGACGCACGGCUGAUCAUUUGUAAUAUACGUGGCAUAGGGGUGCCCUGAUCGUAUGUAAUAUACAAUGCAUCAAGCCAAGCACACGACGGCUGGGCCGUCGGCAUAGGUGCCCACGUGUCAGUUACUGGGAUCUCUGCUUGAAGGACUAUGCCGACGGCCUGGCCGUCGACUUAGUUUCAAACUAUGACGACGGGCCAGCCGUCGGCAUAGCCCUGGUCCACGAGAAGCGGCUGGUCGCCACGUGGCACCCCUAUGCCGACGGUCUAGCCGUCGGCACAGUUUUUGAUUAAGCCGACGGCGACGCCGUCGGCAUAGGUGCUCACGUGUCAGCUACUGGGAGCUCACGCUAGCCCUAUGCCGACGGCCUAGCCGUCGGCAUAGUUUGCUUUUGCUUUUUUUUUCUUUUUUCUGUUUGUUUUCAAAUCAAUUCAAUUCAAAUAGCAGCACAUAUCAGCAGAUAUAUAUAUGAUGGGAUAGACAUAUAAAACACAACAGGAUAUCAUCCGGCACCAUCACAACAAUAUAUGCAUAAGCAUCAUCACACACAAGUCUCUAAAUGAACAUCAUCACAACCAACAUAAGCAUAAGCAUAUAGAGAAGCACACAAGUCAUCUAAAUGAUCAUCACCACACACAAGUCAUCUCAAGCAUCAUCACCACACAAGGAUCAUCAAGCACCGCGGAGGUCGUCGCCGCCAAGACGGCCAAAGCCCAGGUCGUCACUGCUAGCGGCAGCGCUACCGCCUCCGCCCCCACCUCCUCCUCCGCCUCCGUGGACCGGAGUGGUCGGGCUCCGUGUCUCCAGAGUGCUGCGAAGACCACCGCCAACGGUAGAUCCACCUGUUCCCUGCAUGUUGAAAAGACAUAUGCACGGGAUCUAUGACUGUGUUGAAAGGCAUGACAUGCUUUGGGUGAAUAGAUUGUGGAUGAAUUAUUCGGCGAGGGGCCAGCGUUCUGUGCCACAAACUCCUCAAAGCUCAUCAACACUGGUUGUGCUGGAGGGCAUUGUGCUGGAGGGAACUGAGGACACCUGCCGGCCGCCAUAUGCGGAAAAGCCUGCUGCAUCUGGCUAUCCCUCUGCACUUGGUGUUCAUAAAGCCUCUGAUGCCAUGCCAUGGUCUCCUGGCGUGUGUACUCCAGGUAGGCCUACGGUAUGACAUGAUGGAACUCAUAAAACUACUAAAUGCGGAAAAUGAAGUGAAAAAUGAAGACAAGAGGGAAAAUACUUACAGAUUGUUGCUCCUGAAAGAGGGACUGUGUACUGGUCACUGGCUGGCUCGUGCGCUGGCUCAGGCUCGGGUCGAUCCGACGAAGCUGUGUGUAGGAGAUACUAGGAGUCAUCACAGCAUCGAGAACUGCGUCCCGACCGUGCUCCUUGGGCCCCAUCCUCACCACCGCCAUGUCGUCCAGAGGCGCCGCAAUGGGGUCAGGUGUGUCAGGAUGUAACUCCAGAUACGCUUCGGAGUAGGCCUUCUUCCUCCCUGCGGUCUUCUUGCCAUAGUACUUGGGCUCGCCAGGCUUGGGGUCCUUUCGCGUAUGGGCGAUCUCCCACGCCUGCAUGUGUGAGAGCGGCCGCUUCAGUUUCUCCUCCUGCACCACCAAACAGAGGUUAGUCAUACAUAAGAAAGUGAUGGUAAAUAGAAGAAGAAGAAUGUUUAAUGGGGUUAGUCAUACAUUAACUGCCUUGUGGAGAUAGUGGUUUCGGUUUCCCUGAGCAUGUACUCCCUCCGUCCCUCGAUUACCUUAUUUUGGGUUCUCAUAGCCGCCCAGGCUCCAGCCUCAUCACACCAAAGAUCCACCAAUGCCGCCCAGGACUCGUCUUUUCCAUAACACCAAUUUGGACACACCUACAUAAUAAAAGCAUAAUGGCAUGUAGGUGUGUCCAAAUUGGUGUUAUGGAAGCAUAAAGCAUAAUGUACCACAAGGUAAUGAAAGCAUAAUGAAAAAUCUUUUAUACUUACCGCCAAGAACUCGGGCCUCUCCAAGGUAAUGCCCAUCCUCCACGCUUCUUCCUUGGUCAUCUUCACACCAAGAUAGUCGUGGUAGUAUGUGGAGAUGGCCACAUAGCGCACCUCGUACUGCAUCUGGCGGGCCUUCUUCUUGCAUUGGCGCAGCACGAUCUGGUCCGCUCUAGCCCUGUGCUCCGGAAGAACUCGAUAGAAUUUCUACAAUCAUGCAUGAAACAAGAAUGGGAGAAGCCAUGAGUUAAAUCAUUCAUGAAACUAGAAUGGACUUGUGCUUCUGAAGAGAACUCACCCAGAAAGUAGUGAUCACGGCCUUGGCAUGGGUCUCAUGGUCCGCGUGGCGGGCCGCUUCCCAGUGGUCCCAGCUCGUGGCCAAAACCCGACGGUCCGGCUGCCUGACUGGAUCAGGACAGUACAACCUCGGCCAAUAUAACUUCAGCAAGACGGCGAUGAGGCCGUUGGGAAUACGGACCCCUUUAGAAUAUAUCCAGUUGCUGCAAAAGAAUGAACUAUUAGCAUGUGACAAGAAAAAUAAAUAACAACCGGAAUAAGCAUGUGACAAGCAACAUAAUGAACCACUUACUCUUUUCCCGUGGGCUCAAUGAGCCACUUCUGCUCCUUAGUAGCAGGAACCUGCUUUGGUAGCUUUGCGUUGCCACGCAGCCACCCCUUCGUGUCAACCCCCUUCCCGUCACCACCAUCAUCCCCGCCACCACCCUCCUCCUCGCUUGCCUCCCCCUCCCCAACCUCCGCCCCAACCUCCUCCUCCUCCUCCUCGCCCGCCUCCUCCUCCACCACCUCCUCCUCCUCCUCCUCCUCCCUAGAGUGUACCUCACUAGAGGAGGGUACCUCACUAGAGGAGGGUACCUCACUAGAGGAGGGCCUCGAAGACAACACCCCUAAGUCGGUGAGGGUGCGCUGUUUCUGGCCGCGACCCCCUGUAGUGGCUCUCCCCCCAGCACCUCGUCCUCUAGAGGCUCUCCCCCCGCCCCCUCCUCCUCUAGGGGCACCUCUCCCUCGACCUCCCCGUGAGGAGUCAUCGUCAAGUAGCCGAGGGGGAGGAUUACGUGCUCGACCCAUAUGAAUCAUCACUGUUGUAACCUCUUUCUCGGUCCGUCUCAUCAUCACUAUCAAUCAUAUCAUCUUUGUUGUCCGACAGAGGUGGAGGCUCUUCCUCGUCAUCAGCGUCUUCGUUUAACUUUUCUAGCAUAAGUAUGUCAUUUUCAUUGACAAUGGUCUCACCAUCAUUCCGUGCAUCGUCGACGUUUGGGUCCACAUCAUCAUCACCCAAUGGUCUAGCGUCAUCGUUUCUAACCACAUCAUCAUCAUCAUCAUCAUCAGGUUGCUCUUGAUAGAACACUCCCUCAUAUGUCAUGGGGUUAAUGUUGCAGUAAUCGUCUUCAUUCGGGUCUGGUAGCUUACCAUGUGGCGACACCUUGAACACAACUUCCCAACCCUUUAGAUACACUUUCUGGCAUGGGUAAGGCAGAUAAUAUACUUGUGUAGCUUGGGUAGCCGCAAUGAAGAGAUCGGCUCCGGCAUAGAUGGUUGAUGGUUUAAGUUCGACCAAACCAAUGGAAGGCGUAUGUUGUACCCCCUCCCGCAGAUCGAACCAUCGGCAUUUGAACACAGGCAGACUUAGGGUCUCACGCCCCUGGCGGAAUUUAACCUCGUAUAUAUUUUGUACCCUUCCGUAGUAGUCUACUUCAUUUUGACCGGGGGUGUACACUCCAGUAUUUAUAGUUUUGGGAUCGGGGCGGCUGUUUUGGUGCUCCUCUGUAUGGAAGCGAUACCCAUUCACAUCAUACUUUUUACAUGUCAUGACGGCAGGGUCAAAACCCAUGGAAACCCAUCUCAAUUCAUCAUCCAUAGAUAUGUUUGGAUCUUUUCCCUAAAAGUAUAAUGGAAAUUGUUGCGUGCAUUAGUUCGGUUAACUAAUAAAUGUUGAAGUAGGUAUUUAAUAGGGGAGUGUGGAAAAUUACUUUGUCCAUGAACCAAGCAACAAAAUUUUUACGUCCAGGGUUUCCAUGACGGAGAAGAGUAAGUGCCUCCGCCUCAGUAGGAGGAUUCACUCCCAUCCAUUCCUCUUGAACGAAAUCACUAAAAAAAGAUAAGCGGUGUUAGACCGGGACUAAGUGAACAUGAAACAUGAUGAUGUGGAUGACAUAAAGGAAUGGUGUAGUGGUAUUACCUCAUCCACACUUCCUCAACUUCCUUGAUGUUGUGCAAGAUAUAGAACAUGAGGUCCUCCCACUCUUGUCGUGGCAUGUUAUAAGAUUUCGAGGCCCCAGCCCUCCCACCUUGCACGUUGAAUAGAUCGAGUCUGGGUUGAUACUUGGGCUCUUCUAUAUUGUAUCGAGGCACCUUGUUAUGCAGAUGGGGAACGUGGUCUGGAUAGUAUGAUGUCCUGAGGUCUGACACCUCCUCUAGGAUAACUGCCUCAGCUAUGGAAGCUUCAAUCUUAGCUUUGUUUCCACAUUUCCGUCGGAGAUGCUUAUUCUGCCUCUCAGGGCCAUACUGCCAGCGAUUUUGCACAGGGCCCCCCAACAAUACCUCGUUCGCGAGGUGCAGAAUGAGAUGUGUCAUCGGAGUAAAGAAGCCUGGCGGAAAGAUCUUCUCUAGCUUGACUAUCAACUCCGGUGCCUUCUUAUGCAAUUUUUCAAUCACCUCUUUACUUACUUCUUUAGCACAGAGCGUGCGGAAGAAAUGGCUAAGCUCGGCAAGCACUCGCCAGACAUGCUCGGGGACAUAGCCUCGAACCAUCACCGGCAUUAUCCGCUCAAUCCAUACAUGGUAGUCAUGACUCUUCAGGCCGGUCACUUUGCCCGUUGAAAGAUUGACUCCCUUACUUAUAUUCGAUGCAUAACCAUCGGUGAACUUCAAAAUUUGUUUCAACCAGAUAAGUACUUUUUUCUGGCGGUUUAAGGACAAAGUCAGCAUCUGGCUUGAACCAGUUUUUUCGACCGCUUGUGGGAGGCUUCAUGUUCAGGCGUGGUCUAUCACAAAUUCUCUGUUGAUCGGCUCUAGCUUUUACGUUAUCCUUCGUAUUAUCAGGAAUGUUGAGGAUCGUGUGGAAAAGGGACUCUGCCACAUUCUUUUCGGUGUGCAUCACAUCAAUAUUGUAAGGAAGUUUGAGGUCCUUGAAAUAGGGAAGCUGCGAGAAGGGGGUAAUGUGCGUCCAGUUGUGCGUCUCACCAUAUCCCUCGAAGCCUUUGGCUUUGGCUUUGCCUUUGCCUUUGACUUUAGGCUUGAGAGCUUUUAGCUGAGCAAGAACAUCUGCCCCCGAAAAUGUUGGAAUCUCGGUUACUUCAUGAACAACCCGGCCUUUCGUGAAGUUCUUCUUGUCUUCCCUGUCUGGAUGGUCUGGAGGGAGGAACUGUCGAUGCAGGUCAAAGGCUACAUACUUGCCACCCUUACUCAGCCAAAUCAUUCGCAGAGCCUGCAUGCACACUGGGCAUGGCAUCUUACCACUUGUACACCAUCCUCAGAAUAGAGCAUAGCCGGGAAAGUCAUGCAUGCAAUAGUGCAACCAAACUUUCAUCAAGAAAUUUCUCUGCAGAUCCCGGUCGUAUGUCAACCUCGGAAAGUACCAAGAAUGGUGCAAAGCAUCCACAAGCGGCUGCAUAAACACACCCAAUUGCUUCCCCGGGUAGUCAGGCCCCGGAAUGAUGAGCGACAAGAACAUGGUCUUCCAUUGCAUUAGGGCACCGGGAGGAAGAUUGAGCGGAAUUACAAACACAUGCCAGCAGCUGUAUGGAUUGGACGACAUACCAUAUGGAUUCAACCCAUCACCUGAUAUGGCUAUUCUGACAUUCCCAGCCUCGGCUGCUUCCUCAGGGUAUUCUUCAUCGAAUGACUUCCAUGCUUCCCCUCCCGAUGGACGUAUGAUUUUUUUUGGAUUGUACCUUAUACCUUCCUUGUGCCACUUCAUCAUUUUGGCAGACUCCUUCGUGAUGAAAAGGCGCUGCAGUCUUUUUAUAAAAUCAAGAUACCGAAGAACCUUAACGGGGAUGGUUAGCUGCUUUUUCUCACCAUCCUCACCGACCACCUCAAUGUACCGAGACGAACUGCACUUCCUACAGUACUUGUCAUCCGCAUACUCGUGCCUAAACAAAAGGCAAUUCUUCGGGCAAACAUCUAUUUUCUCAUAAUCCAUAGAGAGUGCCUUCAUGAUUUUCUUUGUAUCGUACAUGCUUUUCGGCAGUUCAUGACCCUCAGGGAGGCUGUUAGCCCAUACUCCCAGGAAUGCUUCGAAGCAUUUCUGGCUACAGCUGUACUCAGCCUUGACUGCAAUCAGUUGCGAGAUGGCAUCCAGCUGAGAUAUUUUCGCACCCGCAUAAAGAGGUUUCUUCGACGAGGCCAAGACCUCCAAGAAGGCCUUUGCGGUUGCCUCCGGCUCCUCCGGUUCAUUCUCUGAAGGUGUCGCAUUUGCCGUUUCUGCAACAAUGACAUCAUCUAGCAUGUCCCUGACCCCGUCGUCCUCAUAUCCAUCGAUGCGUUGUCGCAUCACCUCCUCUCUACCACGGUCCUGCUCGGCUAUGUUUAUCGGCGGCAUGUCAAAGUUUGGCAUAUAUCCGUACGUGCGAAGGUGCUCACUCAUGUCCGUCUGAUUUCUACGGUGACGUCUGGCACAUCUCGCACAGGGGCAUGGUGGGAUAAUUCUCAUUGGGCGACGGAAUAUCUCCUUCAAAUAGACAUCAGUUUUCGCAAUCCACUCUGAUGUUACUCGAUUCCGACCGAUAAAACCACUGUACAUCCACUGAUUAUCUGCCAUCCUCCGCUUUUUUGCAACCCACACAACAUAAUUAAGGACUCACUUAAAUUAAUCACAUCAAAUUUUCAGUUUCUACCGCGUUUAAUCCACCUACAUCUCUAAUAGGUAAAGAUGGGUCCUAAUCCCACCUGAGGAUGUGUAGAUUGAGUACGUUCUCCAUUCUACCCCGUUCCGAGACAAAAUUUCGGCAGCACCUCCCCGCUGUUCUCCAGAUACACGUCUCGGCAAAUUGCCGAGAGAAUGUGCUCCAGAGAACAAUGGGGAGGCGCCGCCAAAAUCCUGUCUCGAAACGGGGUAGAACAUGGAGAACAUACCCAAUCUACACAUCUUCGGGCUGUCCGUGGAAAAUGCUGGACAAUCCGAAAGAGCUGCGGUGAUAAAUAUGCAAUUGAAUGCAUAUUUAUCGAUGCAAACCUUUCGGACGGGAGACGCCUAGGGUACGCCAGUUGACUUGAAAAUGAAAUCUAGUGACAUGAUUAAAAGAGCGUAGGAGGUGUAGGUGGAUUCGUAGCUCACCCUCGGCUGUAGAGGAAGUAGUCGAACAGAGGAGGGACGAUCCUUGACCAACAACUCCGAUGACGAUCACUCCACUUGUCAAAAACUCAGUUUGGCCAUAGAGUACUUUAAAGCAAUCUUGGGACAGCCUGCCCCCUCCUUGAACACAGUGGAUGUGCACUCCCUAUACACUCCGCUUGAUUUAUCUACCCUGACGGCACAGUUUUCCUGGGCUGAAAUCGUGCAAGCCAUUAGUGGCUCACCCAAUAACAGAAGCCCGGGACCUGACGGUUUCACCAACGAGUUUUACAAGACUUUCAAGCUGCUGCUAAAGGAUGACCUGUUCCAUUUUUUUAGGAUUUCCACAAAACUGAAGUUGAUAUUGCUGGUAUUUACUCUGCUCUCAUCACCCUGCUACCCAAAAAGGAUACGCCCUUGGAGAUGUGGGAUUUCAGACCUAUUUCUCUCGUACACAGUAUACCCAAGCUGGUUUCUAAGGUUCUGGCAGGCAGACUGAAAACUUGGAUCCCUCUCUUGAUUCACUCCCUCCAGUCUGGCUUCUUGCGGAGCAGAUCGAUCAUAGAAAAUUUUACCCUGGCUGCCGAAAUGAUCCAAUAUGCAUACAAACGGAAAUUGCCGGUCAUUGCUCUGAAGUUGGACUUCCAUAAAGCUUUUGACAGUGUCAGUUGGUCCUGUUUACACAAAGUACUUGAAGCCAGAGGUUUUCCUCAGUUGUGGAUUAGUUGGAUUCAUACGCUUUUGUCAACUGGCAGCUCUAAAGUCCUUCUUAAUGGCGAGAUGGAUGCUCCCAUCCGGGCUAAGCGAGGGUUUCGGCAAGGCGACUCCUUAUCCCCUUACCUCUUCAUUAUUGUUACAGACGUACUGCAGAGAAUGUGCUGCCAUUUGUUCCAGGAUGGCUCCCUGGUUCACCCACUCGGUUCGGACAGUUUCUUCCCGGUUCUGCAAUACGCGGAUGACACGCUGAUCCUUUUUCAAGGCACUACGCAGCAGGCUGCAGUUGUUAAGUCAGCCCUCACAGCUUUCUGUGCGUUUUCUGGGCUCACCAUAAAUUUCCACAAGAGCACUCUCGUACCUGUUGCUGUGGACUCCAGCACCGCUUCGGCCAUUGCCCAGAUCCUAGGCUGCCCCGUUUCAUCCUUUCCAUGCAACUACCUGGGUCUGCCUCUCUCUCUGCACAAAAUUACGCACGGUAUGUUACUGCCUAUUAUACACAAGGUUGACCGUCGUCUUUUAGGCUGGUUAGCUACCUUCUUAUCCUUAGGGGGUAGACUGACUCUCAUCAACUUAGUUCUCACUGGUAUACCAAGCUACUUCAUGUCAUGCUUUGCUUGGCCCAAGGAGUCUCUGGGGAAAUUAGAAAGUCUCUUACGUGCUUUCUUCUGGCAAGGCAAGAACAAAGUCAAGGGUGGCCAAUGCCUAGUGGCUUGGGAUACAGUAUCGUUGCCUCGUAUCAAUGGAGGGUUGGGAAUCCGUCAGCUGCAAGCUCACAAUCAAGCUAUGAUGUGCAAGUUUGUCUCCAAAGUUCUACAAGGUUCAGACAUACCAUGUUAUAACUGGUUUGCCACACAUUACUGUCGGGCUGUUCUUCCACAACGUGCUAGUAGCAGAGACACUACCAUCUGGAAAGGGUUCAGAGAUCUCGUUCCUAUGGUCAUCAACUCCUCUAAAUGUGUUCUGGGAUCUGGGCUUUUGAUUUCCUUCUGGAAGGACCAAUGGCUAGAAGUGGGCCGUUUAUGCCAGCUCUUCCCGACGUUGUAUUCCUUCGCGGCACAGCCAGCUUGCUCAGUACAAUCACAGCAUUCUAAUGGUUCAUGGGCUAUUCAGCUCCACCCUAAUCUCUCACAAACAGCCUCAACUGAGCUAGCUGCCCUGCAGGUUUUGUUGAUGGGCAUUGCUCCAAACUUACUGCAUGAGGACAAACGGUCUGCUUCUGUGAGCUCAGGACAGCUUUGCACUGGAUACUUCUACAGGCUACUCACCUUCCUAGGGGUUUUGACAACCUUUCACACUUGGGUUUGGGAUGUGGUGAUCCCCCUCAAACACAGAAUCUUCCUAAGGCUUGCUUUCCGUGGCCGCCUAAACACUAAGGAUAACAUGGUAAAGAAAGGCUGGUCGGAGGCUGCCCCGUUUGCACAUUGUGACAGUUGCCCCGCUGUUGAGUCAAUCGAUCACUUACUACUAUGUUGUGCACCUGCCAGCGUUCUUUGGGGCAAGAUGGAGCUGGACGUUCUGGCUUGCUCGGCUACUAAUGUUCUUUCUUUUGUGGAGCAAGCACAACACCAGAUCAGUUUCAGGCACAAAUGGAAUGUGGCUUUCGCGGCUUGUGCUAUUGCCUUGUGGCAUGCUAGGAAUGACAGAGUCUUCAACUCCAAAAUCUGGUCUGUAACAUAUACAUGCCUUUAUGCAGCAGACAUGCUCCGUCUUUGGAGUUUCAGAACUCCAAAUCAGCGCACCAGGGAGGUUCUCCAGGUUUGGAGACAAAAGCUGCUGCAUAGUGUGUAGACGAAUGAUGUAAUCCUUCUCCCCUCCCUUCCCCUUCCUCUUCCUCUUCCUUCCUCUUUUCUUCUUUCAGCCUGCUUGUAUGUUGCACCUUGGUGCACCAAACAAGCUGUACUUGUACUGAUACUUGUUACUUCAUCAGGCUCUGGCCUGUUUUGAAAUAUAAGGUCGGCAGCCUGCUACCUUCUUUGUUUCAUUUUGUUCCAAACAGUGAUUUCACUUUUUUGACUCAUCAUUUUGUGUUGUUCAACUGUCUUGGAUUGGCUUGCUUCUAAUCGAUACCUUAAUAAACACACCAGCUACAACGCUUUCAGAUACAGUAUGUGAGACCAACUGAUUUUACUUUUUUCAUUUGUUGGAGACGUACUUUAAGGCUAGAGGGACAUCAAGCUCGGAGACAGCAACUCUUAUGCUUGAAGUGUAUGGAGGCUGCCUUUGUAGGACAAAACUACCGUGGAUGCUUUUAUUAAACGAGAUGAUACCCCGCACGUUGUUGCGGGAAUAUUUGCAAUACAUUUCGAUGAUAUGUGAUUUCUAUGGAACGUGAAUAGUGAUACUACAAAAACUAAAAUUGCAAAUCCAUAUGCUUUAUUGUGUUUGAUUAAUGUAUUGUAAAAUAUCUAAUAUAUGUUUGCAUGUUGAGGUGGACAUUUUCAUGUGCAUGAAUGCAUGUUGUGAUGGGCCUUUUGCCAUGCAUGUUGCUUGAUGAUGUGACAUACUUGCAUGUUGAGAGAAAUAUGUUAGUGGGGGCUAGCUAUUUAGAUAUAGAAGAUUAGGCCAUGUUGACAUCGUAGCCCUUUUAGUUUCAAUUGCAUUUUAAAAGUCCUUAUCUCAUUUUAGUAUAUAAUUUCAAAGUUUUUUUAUCUCUACUGUGAGUCUUGAAAACGUGUUCAUUUAGUAGGAGGAUGAGUCCAUGCGGGGAUAAUACUUUUUCACCGGUUGCAACGCACGGGCAUAUUUUAAUUGUUGUAAUCUAUCCCUAUAAUAAUAAAGCACGGAUUGACUCCGUGGGUUCACCGUCACAAUACGCUUCUUUCCGUGAAUUUACGCUUUCAGUUUUUUCACCUAUAUUAUUUUCUACAUCCGAGGUGGUACUAUCCACCAUCGCAAACUUCGUGGCUGGCCUCCUUAUCUUCGUUUCAUACGUCGUGUGCUUGGUUUCCGGAAAUCAAUCGCUACGUAUGGGCCGGCCCAGUUAAUUAGGAGCCACGGCUGAUCGCAUGACUAAGCAGCCAGCGACGCACGGCUGAUCAUAUGUAAUAUACGUGGCAUAGGGGUGCCCUGAUCGUAUGUAAUAUACAAUGCACCAAGCCAAGCACACGACGGCUGGGCCGUCGGCAUAGGUGCCCACGUGUCAGUUACUGGGAUCUCUGCUUGAAGGACUAUGCCGACGGCCUGGCCGUCGACUUAGUUUCAAACUAUGACGACGGGCCAGCCGUCGGCAUAGCCCUGGUCCACGAGAAGCGGCUGGUCGCCACGUGGCACCCCUAUGCCGACGGUCUAGCCGUCGGCACAGUUUUUGACUAAGCCGACGGCGACGCCGUCGGCAUAGGUGCUCAUGUGUCAGCUACUGGGAGCUCACGCUAGCCCUAUGCCGACGGCCUAGCCGUCGGCAUAGUUUGCUUUUGCUUUUUUUUCUUUUUUCUGUUUGUUUUCAAAUCAAUUCAAUUCAAAUAGCAGCACAUAUCAGCAGAUAUAUAUAUGAUGGGAUAGACAUAUAAAACACAACAGGAUAUCAUCCGACACCAUCACAACAAUAUAUGCAUAAGCAUCAUCACACACAAGUCUCUAAAUGAACAUCAUCACAACCAACAUAAGCAUAAGCAUAUAGAGAAGCACACAAGUCAUCUAAAUGAUCAUCACCACACACAAGUCAUCUCAAGCAUCAUCACCACACAAGGAUCAUCAAGCACCGCGGAGGUCGUCACCGCCAAGACGGCCAAAGCCCAGGUCGUCACUGCUAGCGGCAGCGCUACCGCCUCUGCCCCCACCUCCUCCUCCACCUCCGUGGACCGGAGUGGUCGGGCUCCGUGUCUCCAGAGUGCUGCGAAGACCACCGCCAACGGUAGAUCCACCUGUUCCCUGCAUGUUGAAAAGACAUAUGCACGGGAUCUAUGACUGUGUUGAAAGGCAUGGCAUGCUUUGGGUGAAUAGAUUGUGGAUGAACUAACCGGCGAGGGGCCAGCGUUCUGUGCCACAAACUCCUCAAAGCUCAUCAGCACUGGUUGUGCUGGAGGGCAUUGUGCUGGAGGGACUAUGUACUGGUCACUGGCUGGCUCGUGCGCUGGCUCAGGCUCGGGUCGAUCCGACGAAGCUGUGUGUAGGAGAUACUAGGAGUGAUCACAGCAUCGAGAACUGCGUCCCGACCGUGCUCCUUGGGCCCCAUCCUCACCACCGCCAUGUCGUCCAGAGGCGCCGCAAUGGGGUCAGGUGUGUCAGGAUGUAACUCCAGAUACGCUUCGGAGUAGGCCUUCUUCCUCCCUGCGGUCUUCUUGCCAUAGUACUUGGGCUCGCCAGGCUUGGGAUCCUUUCGCGUAUGGGCGAUCUCCCACGCCUGCAUGUGUGAGAGCGGCCGCUUCAGUUUCUCCUCCUGCACCACCAAACAGAGGUUAGUCAUACAUAAGAAAGUGAUGGUAAAUAGAAGAAGAAGAAUGUUUAAUGGGGUUAGUCAUACAUUAACUGCCUUGUGGAGAUAGUGGUUUCGGUUUCCCUGAGCAUGUACUCCCUCCGUCCCUCGAUUAGCCUUAUUUUGGGUUCUCAUAGCCGCCCAGGCUCCAGCCUCAUCACACCAAAGAUCCACCAAUGCCGCCCAGGACUCGUCUUUUCCAUAACACCAAUUUGGACACACCUACAUAAUAAAAGCAUAAUGGCAUGUAGGUGUGUCCAAAUUGGUGUUAUGGAAGCAUAAAGCAUAAUGUACCACAAGGUAAUGAAAGCAUAAUGAAAAAUCUUUUAUACUUACUGCCAAGAACUCGGGCCUCUCCAAGGUAAUGCCCAUCCUCCGCGCUUCUUCCUUGGUCAUCUUCACACCAAGAUAGUCGUGGUAGUAUGUGGAGAUAGCCACAUAGCGCACCUCGUACUGCAUCUGGCGGGCCUUCUUCUUGCAUUGGCGCAGCACGAUCUGGUCCGCUCUAGCCCUGUGCUCUGGAAGAACUCGAUAGAAUUUCUACAAUCAUGCAUGAAACAAGAAUGGGAGAAGCCAUGAGUUAAAUCAUUCAUGAAACUAGAAUGGACUUGUGCUUCUGAAGAGAACUCACCCAGAAAGUAGUGAUCACGGCCUUGGCAUGGGUCUCAUGGUCCGCGUGGCGGGCCGCUUCCCAGUGGUCCCAGCUCGUGGCCAAAACCCGACGGUUCGGCUGCCUGACUGGAUCAGGAUAGUACAACCUCGGCCAAUAUAACUUCAGCAAGACGGUGAUGAGGCCGUUGGGAAUACAGACCCCUUUAGAAUAUAUCCAGUUGCUGCAAAAGAAUGAACUAUUAGCAUGUGACAAGAAAAAUAAAUAACAACCGGAAUAAGCAUGUGACAAGCAACAUAAUGAACCACUUACUCUUUUCCCGUGGGCUCAAUGAGCCACUUCUGCUCCUUAGUAGCAGGAACCUGCUUUGGUAGCUUUGCGUUGCCACGCAGCCACCCCUUCGUGUCAACCCCCUUCCCGUCACCACCAUCAUCCCCGCCACCACCCUCCUCCUCGCCUGCCUCCCCCUCCCCAACCUCCGCCCCAACCUCCUCCUCCUCCUCCUCGCCCGCCUCCUCCUCCACCACCUCCUCCUCCUCCUCCUCCUCCCUAGAGUGUACCUCACUAGAGGAGGGUACCUCACUAGAGGAGGGUACCUCACUAGAGGAGGGCCUCGAAGACAACACCCCUAAGNNNNNNNNNNNNNNNNNNNNNNNNNNNNNNNNNNNNNNNNNNNNNNNNNNNNNNNNNNNNNNNNNNNNNNNNNNNNNNNNNNNNNNNNNNNNNNNNNNNNNNNNNNNNNNNNNNNNNNNNNNNNNNNNNNNNNNNNNNNNNNNNNNNNNNNNNNNNNNNNNNNNNNNNNNNNNNNNNNNNNNNNNNNNNNNNNNNNNNNNNNNNNNNNNNNNNNNNNAGCCACCCCUUCGUGUCAACCCCCUUCCCGUCACCACCAUCAUCCCCGCCACCACCCUCCUCCUCGCUUGCCUCCCCCUCCCCAACCUCCGCCCCAACCUCCUCCUCCUCCUCCUCGCCCGCCUCCUCCUCCACCACCUCCUCCUCCUCCUCCUCCUCCCUAGAGUGUACCUCACUAGAGGAGGGUACCUCACUAGAGGAGGGUACCUCACUAGAGGAGGGCCUCGAAGACAACACCCCUAAGUCGGUGAGGGUGCGCUGUUUCUGGCCGCGACCCCCUGUAGUGGCUCUCCCCCCAGCACCUCGUCCUCUAGAGGCUCUCCCCCCGCCCCCUCCUCCUCUAGGGGCACCUCUCCCUCGACCUCCCCGUGAGGAGUCAUCGUCAAGUAGCCGAGGGGGAGGAUUACGUGCUCGACCCAUAUGAAUCAUCACUGUUGUAACCUCUUUCUCGGUGCUCGACCCAGAGGUGGAGGCUCUUCCUCGUCAUCAGCGUCUUCGUUUAACUUUUCUAGCAUAAGUAUGUCAUUUUCAUUGACAAUGGUCUCACCAUCAUUCCGUGCAUCGUCGACGUUUGGGUCCACAUCAUCAUCACCCAAUGGUCUAGCGUCAUCGUUUCUAACCACAUCAUCAUCAUCAUCAUCAUCAGGUUGCUCUUGAUAGAACACUCCCUCGUAUGUCAUGGGGUUAAUGUUGCAGUAAUCGUCUUCAUUCGGGUCUGGUAGCUUACCAUGUGGAGACACCUUGAACACAACUUCCCAACCCUUUAGAUACACUUUCUGGCAUGGGUAAGGCAGAUAAUAUACUUGUGUAGCUUGGGUAGCCGCAAUGAAGAGAUCGGCUCCGGCAUAGACGGUUGAUGGUUUAACUUCAACCAAACCAAUGGAAGCCGUAUGUUUUACCCCCUCCCGCAGAUCGAACCAUCGGCAUUUGAACACAUGCAGACUUAGGGUCUCACGCCCCUGGCGGAAUUUAACCUCGUAUAUAUUUUGUACCCUUCCGUAGUAGUCUACUUCAUUUUGACCGGGGGUGUACACUCCAGUAUUUAUAGUUUUGGGAUCGGGGCGGCUGUUUUGGUGCUCCUCUGUAUGGAAGCGAUACCCAUUCACAUCAUACUUUUUACAUGUCAUGACGGCAGGGUCAAAACCCAUGGAAACCCAUCUCAAUUCAUCAUCCAUAGAUAUGUUCGGAUCUUUUCCCUAAAAGUAUAAUGGAAAUUGUUGCAUGCAUUAGUUCGGUUAACUAAUAAAUGUUGAAGUAGGUAUUUAAUAGGGGAGUGUGGAAAAUUACUUUGUCCAUGAACCAAGCAACAAAAUUUUUACGUCCAGGGUUUCCAUGACGGAGAAGAGUAAGUGCCUCCGCCUCAGUAGGAGGAUUCACUCCCGUCCAUUCCUCUUGAAUGAAAUCACUAAAAAAAGAUAAGCGGUGUUAGACCGGGACUAAGUGAACAUGAAACAUGAUGAUGUGGAUGACAUAAAGGAAUGGUGUAGUGGAAUUACCUCAUCCACACUUCCUCAACUUCCUUGAUGUUGUGCAAGAUAUAGAACAUGAGGUCCUCCCACUCUUGUCGUGGAAUGUUAUAAGAUUUCGAGGCCCCAGCCCUCCCACCUUGCGCGUUGAAUAGAUCGAGUCUGGGUUGAUACUUGGGCUCUUCUAUAUUGUAUCGAGGCACCUUGUUAUGCAGAUGGGGAACGUGGUCUGGAUAGUAUGAUGUCCUGAGGUCUGACACCUCCUCUAGGAUAACUGCCUCAGCUAUGGAAGCUUCAAUCUUAGCUUUGUUUCCACAUUUCCGUCGGAGAUGCUUAUUCUGCCUCUCAGGGCCGUACUGCCAGCGAUUUUGCACAGGGCCCCCCAACAAUACCUCGUUCGCGAGGUGCAGAAUGAGAUGUGUCAUCGGAGUAAAGAAGCCUGGCGGAAAGAUCUUCUCUAGCUUGACUAUCAACUCCGGUGCCUUCUUAUGCAAUUUUUCAAUCACCUCUUUACUUACUUCUUUAGCACAGAGCGUGCGGAAGAAAUGGCUAAGCUCGGCAAGCACUCGCCAGACAUGCUCGGGGACAUAGCCUCGAACCAUCACCGGCAUUAUCCGCUCAAUCCAUACAUGGUAGUCAUGACUCUUCAGGCCGGUCACUUUGCCCGUUGAAAGAUUGACUCCCUUACUUAUAUUCGAUGCAUAACCAUCGGUGAACUUCAAAAUUUGUUUCAACCAGAUAAGUACUUUUUUCUGGCGGUUUAAGGACAAAGUCAGCAUCUGGCUUGAACCAGUUUUUUCGACCGCUUGUGGGAGGCUUCAUGUUCAGGCGUGGUCUAUCACAAAUUCUCUGUUGAUCGGCUCUAGCUUUUACGUUAUCCUUCGUAUUAUCAGGAAUGUUGAGGAUCGUGUGGAAAAGGGACUCUGCCACAUUCUUUUCGGUGUGCAUCACAUCAAUAUUGUAAGGAAGUUUGAGGUCCUUGAAAUAGGGAAGCUGCGAGAAGGGGGUAAUGUGCGUCCAGUUGUGCGUCUCACCAUAUCCCUCGAAGCCUUUGGCUUUGGCUUUGCCUUUGCCUUUGACUUUAGGCUUGAGAGCUUUUAGCUGAGCAAGAACAUCUGCCCCCGAAAAUGUUGGAAUCUCGGUUACUUCAUGAACAACCCGGCCUUUCGUGAAGUUCUUCUUGUCUUCCCUGUCUGGAUGGUCUGGAGGGAGGAACUGUCGAUGCAGGUCAAAGGCUACAUACUUGCCACCCUUACUCAGCCAAAUCAUUCGCAGAGCCUGCAUGCACACUGGGCAUGGCAUCUUACCACUUGUACACCAUCCGCAGAAUAGAGCAUAGCCGGGAAAGUCAUGCAUGCAAUAGUGCAACCAAACUUUCAUCAAGAAAUUUCUCUGCAGAUCCCGGUCGUAUGUCAACCUCGGAAAGUACCAAGAAUGGUGCAAAGCAUCCACAAGCGGCUGCAUAAACACACCCAAUUGCUUCCCCGGGUAGUCAGGCCCCGGAAUGAUGAGCGACAAGAACAUGGUCUUCCGUUGCAUUAGGGCACCGGGAGGAAGAUUGAGCGGAAUUACAAACACAGGCCAGCAGCUGUAUGGAUUGGACGACAUACCAUAUGGAUUCAACCCAUCACCUGAUAUGGCUAUUCUGACAUUCCCAGCCUCGGCUGCUUCCUCGGGGUAUUCUUCAUCGAAUGACUUCCAUGCUUCCCCUCCCGAUGGACGUAUGAUUUUUUUGGAUUGUACCUUAUACCUUCCUUGUGCCACUUCAUCAUUUUGGCAGACUCCUUCGUGAUGAAAAGGCACUGCAGUCUUUUUAUAAAAUCAAGAUACCGAAGAACCUUAACGGGGAUGGUUAGCUGCUUUUUCUCACCAUCCUCACCGACCACCUCAAUGUACCGAGACGAACUGCACUUCCUACAGUACUUGUCAUCCGCAUACUCGUGCCUAAACAAAAGGCAAUUCUUCGGGCAAACAUCUAUUUUCUCAUAAUCCAUAGAGAGUGCCUUCAUGAUUUUCUUUGUAUCGUACAUGCUUUUCGGCAGUUCAUGACCCUCAGGGAGGAUGUUAGCCCAUACUCACAGGAAUGCUUCGAAGCAUUUCUGGCUACAGCUGUACUCAGCCUUGACUGCAAUCAGUUGUGAGAUGGCAUCCAGCUGAGAUAUUUUCGCACCCGCAUAAAGAGGUUUCUUCGACGAGGCCAAGACCUCCAAGAAGGCCUUUGCGGUUGCCUCCGGCUCCUCCGGUUCAUUCUCUGAAGGUGUCGCAUUUGCCGUUUCUGCAACAAUGACAUCAUCUAGCAUGUCCCUGACCCCGUCGUCCUCAUAUCCAUCGAUGCGUUGUCGCAUCACCUCCUCUCUACCACGGUCCUGCUCGGCUAUGUUUAUCAGCGGCAUGUCAAAGUUUGGCAUAUAUCCGUACGUGCGAAGGUGCUCACUCAUGUCCGUUUGAUUUCUACGGUGACGUCUGGCACAUCUCGCACAGGGGCAUGGUGGGAUAAUUCUCAUUGGGCGACGGAAUAUCUCCUUCAAAUAGACAUCGGUUUUCGCAAUCCACUCUGAUGUUACUCGAUUCCGACGGAUAAAACCACUGUACAUCCACUGAUUAUCUGCCGUCCUCUGCUUUUUUGCAACCCACACAACAUAAUUAAGGAUUCACUUAAAUUAAUCACAUCAAAUUUUCAGUUUCUACCGCGUUUAAUCCACCUACAUCUCUAAUAGGUAAAGAUGGGUCCUAAUCCCACCCGAGGAUGUGUAGAUUGAGUACGUUCUCCAUUCUACCCCGUUCUGAGACAAAAUUUCGGCAGCACCUCCCCGCUGUUCUCCAGAUACACGUCUCGGCAAAUUGCCGAGAGAAUGUGCUCCGGAGAACAAUGGGGAGGCGCCGCCAAAAUCCUUUCUCGAAACGGGGUAGAACAUGGAGAACAUACCCAAUCUACACAUCCUCGGGCUGUCCGUGGAAAACGCUGGACAAUCCGAAAGAGCUGCGAUGAUAAAUAUGCAAUUGAAUGCAUAUUUAUCGAUGCAAACCUUUCGGACGGGAGACACCUAGGGUACGCCAGUUGACUUGAAAAUGAAAUCUAGUGACAUGAUUAAAAGAGCGUAGGAGGUGUAGGUGGAUUCGUAGCUCACCCUCGGCUGUAGAGGAAGUAGUCGAACAGAGGAGGGACGAUCCUUGACCAACAACUCCGAUGACGAUCACUCCACUGACAUGAAACUCUACAAAACCUGCAAAUUCCAACGCGACAAAAAUUUAGAACAUCACAACUCAUAAAGCAUAUUCAUCAUCAACUCACAAAUUUAGGUGCAUUCAUUUAUUCUUGAAUCAUGUAGUGUUAUUUCAUCACAUAUUCAUCAUCAUCAUCACAACUAACAAUAUUAAAUAAAUAUUCAUCAUCAUCAUCAUCACAACUAACAAUAUCAACAAUAUAUUCAUCAUCAUUGUCUAUUCAUCAUCAUCAUCGAUUCAUCUCAUCGAACAAAAAAUUUAUCUAUUGAUCUAUCUAUUCAUCUGAUCUAACAAUCUAUCUAUCUAACAAUCUAUCUAUCUAUUGAUCUAUCUAUCGAUCUAUCUAUCUAUAUAUCUAACAAUCUAUCUAUCUAACAAUCUAUUCAUCUCAUCUCAUUUAUCAUCAUUUAUCUAUCUAUAUAUCUAUCUAUAUAUCUAACAAUCUAACAAUCUAUCUAUCUAACAAUCUAUCUAUCUAUCUAUCUAUAUAUCUAUCUAUCUAUAUAUCUAACAAUCUAUCUAUCUAAAAACAGAAAAAAAAGUGGAGGUCUCACCGGAGUGGCAGGGCCGGGGUGAGGCGGAGCCAGGCAGGGCCGGGGCGAGGAGGCGACCGAUGGGGCGACGCGGUGGUGGAGCGCGGGAUGGGGGCGAGGUGGCGGCCGGCGGGGCAGGGCAGGUCGGGGCGAGGUGGCGACGACGCGGAGGAGGGGGCNNNNNNNNNNNNNNNNNNNNNNNNNNNNNNNNNNNNNNNNNNNNNNNNNNNNNNNNNNNNNNNNNNNNNNNNNNNNNNNNNNNNNNNNNNNNNNNNNNNNNNNNNNNNNNNNNNNNNNNNNNNNNNNNNNNNNNNNNNNNNNNNNNNNNNNNNNNNNNNNNNNNNNNNNNNNNNNNNNNNNNNNNNNNNNNNNNNNNNNNNNNNNNNNNNNNNNNNNNNNNNNNNNNNNNNNNNNNNNNNNNNNNNNNNNNNNNNNNNNNNNNNNNNNNNNNNNNNNNNNNNNNNNNNNNNNNNNNNNNNNNNNNNNNNNNNNNNNNNNNNNNNNNNNNNNNNNNNNNNNNNNNNNNNNNNNNNNNNNNNNNNNNNNNNNNNNNNNNNNNNNNNNNNNNNNNNNNNNNNNNNNNNNNNNNNNNNNNNNNNNNNNNNNNNNNNNNNNNGGAGGGGGCGGAGCAACGCGAAGGAGGGGCGGAGGAGAGGGCGUCCGACGGAGGGGGUGGAGAUGGCGGCGGCCGGUGGCGGGGCGAGCGGCUAGGGAGGCGUCGACGGCGCGGAGAGGGUGGCGGCGGCGGUUGGCUGUCGAGGAGAGGGAGUUGGAUCGGGGUGCGAGGAGAGAAACGAGUGGAGGAGGAGGGCCGGGUCGAGGAUAAGGUGGCCCUAUGCCGACGGCUAGGCCGUCGGCAUAGGAGUGGCCCCACCUGACAGCGAGAGGGCAUUGAGUGGAUAAGGGUGGCUCUAUGCCGACGGCCAGGCCAUCGGCAUAGAUAGGAGGCCUAUGCCGACGGCUAUGCCGUAGGCAUAGAUGGAAACUACUUUCUUAUAAAAAAUUGUCCCACCUCGCCGAGGGAAAAGAAAUUAGACCUGUUUAAAUAGUUCACUAAUUCAAUUAUUACAUUUUUAGAUUCUUAGUUUACCGUCUGUAUGGGACCCGGUACCCCGCACCUGGAGGGGGGAAACGGACGCGUGGGGUCGCCGACGGCGCCGUCCGUGAGGGGGGGCACGCCCCGGACACGCGUCCCGCCUCUUCGGACAUGCCACUGUUGGGGAACGUAGUAAUUUCAAAAAAUUUCCUACGCACACGCAAGAUCAUGGUGAUGCAUAGCAACGAGAGGGGAGAGUGUUGUCUACAUACCAACGCAGACCGACUGCCGAAGCGAUCUCACAACGUAGAGGAAGUAGUCGUACGUCUUCUUCCCGAUCCGACCAAUCCAAGCACCGUUACUCCGGCACCUCCGAGUUCUUAGCACACGUUCAGCUCGAUGACGAUCCUCGGGCUCCGAUCCAGCAAAGCGUCGAGGAAGAGUUCCGUCAGCACGAUGGCGUGAUGACGAUCUUGAUGUUCUACCGACGCAGGGCUUCGCCUAAGCACUGUAACGAUAUGACCGAGGUGGAAUUUGGUGGCAGGGGGCACCGCACACGGCUAAGGAAAGAUCUCAAUGAUCAAUUGUGUGUCUAGAGGUGCCCCCUGCCCCCGUAUAUAAAGGGGCAAAGGGGGAGGGGUGCGGCAGCCAUAGGGGCGCGCCAGGAGGAGUCCUACUCCCGCCGGGAGUAGGACUCCCCCCCCCCCCCAAUCCUAGUCCAACCAGGAAUCCUCAAAAGGGAAAAGAGGAGGAGGUGGACGGCCCCCUCUCCUAGUCCUAAUAGGACUAGGGGGAGAGGGAGGCGCGCAGCCCAUCUAGGGCAGCCCUUUCUCUCUUCCACUAGGGCCCAUGUAGGCCCAUUUGGCUCCCGGGGGGUUCCGGUAACCUCCCGGUAAUCCGUUAAAAUUCCCGAUUUCACCCGGAACAAUUCCGAUGUCCAAAUAUAGGCUUCCAAUAUAUCAAUCUUUAUGUCUAGACCAUUUCGAGACUCCUCGUCAUGUCCGUGAUCACAUCCGGGACUCCAAACAACAUUCGGUACAUCAAAAUGCAUAAACUCAUAAUAACUGUCAUCGUAACGUUGAGCGUGCGGACCCUACGGUUCGAGAACAAUGUAGACAUGACCGAGACACGUCUCCGGUCAAUAACCAAUAGCGGGACCUGGAUGCCCAUAUUGGCUCCUACAUAUUCUACGAAGAUCUUUAUCGGUCAGACCGCAUAACAUACGUUGUUCCCUUUGUCAUCGGUAUGUUACUUGCCCGAGAUUCGAUCGUCGGUAUCCAAUACCUAGUUCAAUCUCGUUGCUGGCAAGUCUCUUUACUCGUUCUGUAAUGCAUCAUCCCGCAACUAACUUAUUAGUUGCAAUGCUUGCAAGGCUUAAGUGAUGUGCAUUACCGAGAGGGCCCAGAGAUACCUCUCCGACAAUUGGAGUGACAAAUCCUAAUCUCGAAAUACGCCAACCCAACAUUUACCAUUGGAGACACCUGUAGUACUCCUUUAUAAUCACCCAGUUACGUUGUGACGUUUGGUAGCACCCAAAGUGUUCCUCCGGCAAACGGGAGUUGCAUAAUCUCAUAGUCAUAGGAACAUGUAUAAGUCAUGAAGAAAGCAAUAGCAAAAUACUAAACGAUCGGGUGCUAAGCUAAUGGAAUGGGUCAUGUCAAUCAGAUCAUUCAACUAAUGAUGUGACCUCGUUAAUCAAAUAACAACUCUUUGUUCAUGGUUAGGAAACAUAACCAUCUUUGAUUAACGAGCUAGUCUAGUAGAGGCAUACUAUGACACUCUGGUUGUCUAUGUAUUCACACAUGUAUUAUGUUUCCGGUUAAUACAAUUCUAGCAUGAAUAAUAAACAUUUAUCAUGAUUUAAGGAAAUAAAUAAUAACUUUAUUAUUGCCUCUAGGGCAUAUUUCCUUCAGUCUCCCACUUGCACUAGAGUCAAUAAUCUAGAUUACACAGUAAUGAUUCUAACACCCAUGGAGUCUUGGUGCUGAUCAUGUUUUGCUCGUGGAAGAGGCUUAGUCAACGGGUCUGCAACAUUCAGAUCCGUAUGUAUCUUGCAAAUCUCUAUGUCUCCCACCUGGACUAGAUCCCGGAUGGAGUUGAAGCGUCUCUUGAUGUGUUUGGUCCUUUUGUGAAAUCUGGAUUCUUUGCCAAGGCAAUUGCACCAGUAUUGUCACAAAAGAUUUUCAUUGGACCCGAUGCACUAGGUAUGACAACUAGAUCGGAUAUGAACUCCUUCAUCCAGACUCCUUCGUUUGCUGCUUCCGAAGCAGCUAUGUACUCCGCUUCACAUGUAGAUCCCGCUACGACGCUUUGUUUAGAACUGCACCAACUGACAGCUCCACCGUUUAAUGUAAACACGUAUCCGGUUUGCGAUUUAGAAUCGUCCGGAUCAGUGUCAAAGCUUGCAUCAACGUAACCUCUUACGGUGAGCUCUUUGUCACCUCCAUAUACGAGAAACAUAUCCUUAGUCCUUUUCAGGUAUUUCAGGAUGUUCUUGACCGCUGUCCAGUGAUCCACUCCUGGAUUACUUUGGUACCUCCCUGCUAAACUUAUAGCAAGGCACACAUCUGGUCUGGUACAUAGCAUUGCAUACAUGAUAGAGCCUAUGGCUGAAGCAUAGGGAACAUCUUUCAUUUUCUCUCUAUCUUCUGCAGUGGUCGGGCUUUGAGUCUUACUCAAUCUCACACCUUGUAACACAGGCAAGUACCCUUUCUUUGCUUGAUCCAUUUUGAACUUUUUCAAAAUUUUGUCAAGGUAUGUGCUUUGUGAAAGUCCAAUUAAGCGUCUUGAUCUAUCUCUAUAGAUCUUUAUGCCUAAUAUGUAAGCAACUUCACCGAGGUCUUUCAUUGAAAAACUUCUAUUCAAGUAUCCCUUUAUGCUAUCCAGAAAUUCUAUAUCAUUUCCAAUCAGCAAUAUGUCAUCCACAUAUAAUAUCAGAAAUGCUACAGAGCUCCCACUCACUUUCUUGUAAAUACAGGCUUCUCCGAAAGUCUGUAUAAAACCAAAUGCUUUGAUCACACUAUCAAAACGUUUAUUCCAACUCCGAGAGGCUUGCACCAGUCCAUAAAUGGAUCGCUGGAGCUUGCACACUUUGUUAGCUCCCUUUGGAUCGACAAAACCUUCCGGUUGCAUCAUAUACAACUCUUCUUCCAGAAAUCCAUUCAGGAAUGCAGUUUUGACAUCCAUCUGCCAAAUCUCAUAAUCAUAAAACGCGGCAAUUGCUAACAUGAUUCAGACAGACUUAAGCAUCGCUACGGGUGAGAAAGUCUCAUCGUAGUCAAUCCCUUGAACUUGUCGAAAACCUUUUGUGACAAGUCGAGCUUUGUAGACAGUAACAUUACCAUCAGCGUCAGUCUUCUUCUUGAAGAUCCAUUUAUUCUCAAUUGCUUGCCGAUCAUCGGGCAAGUCAACCAAAGUCCAUACUUUGUUCUCAUACAUGGAUCCCAUCUCAGAUUUCAUGGCUUCAAGCCACUUUGCGGAUUCUGGGCUCACCAUCGCUUCUUCAUAGUUCGUAGGUUCAUCAUGAUCUAGUAGCAUGACUUCCAGAAUAGGAUUACCGUACCACUCUGGUGCGGAUCUCACUCUGGUUGAUCUAAGAGGUUCAGUAGUAUCUUGAUCUAAAGUUUCAUGAUCAUCAUCAUUGGCUUCCUCACUUAUUGGUGUAGGUAUCUCAGAAACAGUUUUCUGUGAUGUACUACUUUCCAACAAGGGAGUAGGUACAGUUACCUCGUCAAGUUCUACUUUUCUCCCACUCACUUCUUUCGAGAGAAACUCCUUCUCUAGAAAGUUUCCGAACUUGGCAACAAAAGUCUUGCCUUCGGAUCUGUGAUAGAAGGUGUAUCCAAUAGUUUCCUUUGGAUAUCCUAUGAAGACACAUUUCUCCGAUUUGGGUUUAAGCUUAUCAGGUUGAAGCUUUUUCACAUAAGCAUCGCAGCCCCAAACUUUCAGAAACGACAACUUUGGUUUCUUGCCAAACCACAGUUCAUAAGGCGUCGUCUCAACGGAUUUUGAUGGUGCCCUAUUUAACGUGAAUGCGGCCGUCUCUAGAGCGUAUCCCCAAAACGAUAGCGGUAAAUCAGUAAGAGACAUCAUAGAUCGCACCAUAUCUAGUAAAGUACGAUUACGACGUUCGGACACACCAUUACGCUGUGGUGUUUCGGGUGUCGUGAGUUGCGAAACUAUUCCACAAUUUUUCAAAUGUACACCAAACUCGUAACUCAAAUAUUCUCCUCCACGAUCAGAUCGUAGAAACUUUAUUUUCUUGUUACGAUGAUUUUCAACUUCACUCUGAAAUUCUUUGAACUUUUCAAAUGUUUCAGACUUGUGUUUCAUUAAGUAGAUAUACCCAUAUCUGCUUAAAUCAUCUGUGAAGGUGAGAAAAUAACGAUAUCCGCCACGAGCCUCAAUAUUCAUCGGACCACAUACAUCGGUAUGUAUGAUUUCCAACAAAUCUGUUGCUCUCUCCAUAGUACCGGAGAACGGUGUUUUAGUCAUCUUGCCCAUGAGGCACGGUUCGCAAGUACCAAGUGAUUCAUAAUCAAGUGGUUCCAAAAGUCCAUCAGUAUGGAGUUUCUUCAUGCGCUUUACACCGAUAUGACCUAAACGACAGUGCCACAAAUAAGUUGCACUUUCAUUAUCAACUCUGCAUCUUUUGGCUUCAAUAUUAUGAAUAUGUGUAUCACUACUAUCGAGAUUCAUCAAAAAUAGACCACUCUUCAAAGGUGCAUGACCAUAAAAGAUAUUACUCAUAUAAAUAGAACAACCAUUAUUCUCUGAUUUAAAUGAAUAACCGUCUCGCAUUAAACAAGAUCCAGAUAUAAUGUUCAUGCUCAACGCUGGCACCAAAUAACAAUUAUUUAGGUCUAAUAUUAAUCCCGAAGGUAGAUGUAGAGGUAGCGUGCCGACCGCGAUCACAUCGACUUUGGAACUGUUUCCCACGCGCAUCGUCACCUCGUCCUUUGCUAGUGUCCGCUUAUUCCGUAGUCCCUGUUUCGAGUUGCAAAUAUUAGCAACAGAACCAGUAUCAAAUACCCAGGUGCUACUGCGAGCUCUAGUAAGGUACACACCAAUAACAUGUAUAUCACAUAUACCUUUGUUCACCUUGCCAUCCUUCUUAUCCGCCAAAUACUUGGGGCAGUUCUGCUUCCAGUGACCAGUCUGCUUGCAGUAGAAGCACUCAGUUUCAGGCUUAGGUCCAGACUUGGGUUUCUUCUCUUGAGAAGCAACUUGCUUGCCGUUCUUCUUGAAGUUCCCCUUCUUCUUCCCUUUGCCCUUUUUCUUGAAACUAGUGGUUUUGUUAACCAUCAACACUUGAUGCUCCUUCUUGAUUUCUACCUCCGCAGUUUUCAGCAUUGCGAAGAGCUCGGGAAUAGUCUUGUUCAUCCCUUGCAUAUUAUAGUUCAUCAUGAAGCUCUUGUAGCUUGGUGGCAGUGAUUGGAGAAUUCUGUCAAUGACGCAAUCAUCCGAAAGAUUAACUCCCAAUUGAAUCAAGUGAUUAUUAUACCCAGACAUUUUGAGUAUAUGCUCACUGACAGAACUGUUCUCCUCCAUCUUGUAGCUAUAGAACUUAUUGGAGACUUCAUAUCUCUCAAUCCGGGCAUUUGCUUGAAAUAUUAACUUCAACUCCUGGAACAUCUCAUAUGCUCCAUGACGUUCAAAACGUCGUUGAAGUCCCGAUCCUAAGCCGUAAAGCAUGGCACACUGAACUAUCGAGUAGUCAUCAGCUUUGCUCUGCCAGACGUUCAUAACAUCUGGUGUUGCUCCAGCAGCAGGCCUGGCACCCAGCGGUGCUUCCAGGACGUAAUUUUUCUGUGCAGCAAUGAGGAUAAUCCUCAAGUUACGGACCCAGUCCAUGUAAUUGCUACCAUCAUCUUUCAACUUUGCUUUCUCAAGGAACGCAUUAAAAUUUAACGGAACAACAGCACGAGCCAUCUAUCUACAAUCAACAUAAACAAGCAAGAUACUAUCAGGUACUAAGUUUAUGAUAAGGUUAAGUUCAGUUAAUCAAAUUACUUAAGAACUCCCACUUAGAUAGACAUCCCUCUAAUCCUCUAAGUGAUCACGUGAUCCAAAUCAACUAAACCAUAACCGAUCAUCACGUGAGAUGGAGUAGUUUUCAAUGGUGAACAUUGUUAUGUUGAUCAUAUCUACUAUAUGAUUCACGCUCGACCUUUCGGUCUCUGUGUUCCGAGGCCAUAUCUGUAUAUGCUUGGCUCGUCAAGUAUAACCUGAGUAUUCCACGUGUGCAACUGUUUUGCACCCGUUGUAGUUGGACGUAGAGCUUAUCACACCCGAUCAUCACGUGGUGUCUGGGCACGACGAACUUUGGCAACGGUGCAUACUCAGGGAGAACACUUCUUGAUAAUUUAGUGAGAGAUCAUCUUAUAAUGCUACCGUCAAUCAAAGCAAGAUAAGAUGCAUAAAAAGAUAAACAUCACAUGCAAUCAAUAUAAGUGAUAUGAUAUGGCCAUCAUCAUCUUGUGCUUGUGAUCUCCAUCUCCGAAGCAUCGUCAUGAUCACCAUCGUCACCGGCGCGACACCUUGAUCUCCAUCGUAGCAUCGUUGUCGUCUCGCCAAUCUUAUGCUUCCACGACUAUCACUACCGCUUAGUAAUAAAGUAAAGCAUUACAUCGCGAUUGCAUUGCAUACAAUAAAGCGACAACCAUAUGGCUCCUGCCAGUUGCCGAUAACUCGGUUACAAAACAUGAUCAUCUCAUACAAUAAAAUUUAGCAUCAUGCCUUGACCAUAUCACAUCACAACAUGCCCUGCAAAAACAAGUUAGACGUCCUCUACUUUGUUGUUGCAAGUUUUACGUGGCUGCUACGGGCUUAAGCAAGAACUCAUCUUACCUACGCAUCAAAACCACAACGAUAGUUUGUCAAAUAGACUCCGUUUUAACCUUCUCAAGGACCGGGCGUAGUCACACUCGGUUCAACUAAAGUUGGAGAGACAGUCGCCCGCAAGCCAUCUAUGUGCAAAACACGUCGAGGGAACCGGUCUCGCGUAAGCGUACGCGUAAGGUUGGUCCGGGUCGUCUCGUCCAACAAUACCGCCGAACCAAAGUAUGACAUGCUGGUAGGCAGUAUGACUUGUAUCGCCCACAACUCACUUGUGUUCUACUCGUGCAAAUAACAUCAAACCAUAAAACCUAGGCUCGGAUGCCACUGUUGGGGAACGUAGUAAUUUCAAAAAAUUUCCUACGCACACGCAAGAUCAUGGUGAUGCAUAGCAACGAGAGGGGAGAGUGUUGUCUACGUACCAACGCAGACCGACUGCGGAAGCGAUCUCACAACGUAGAGGAAGUAGUCGUACGUCUUCUUCCCGAUCCGACCAAUCCAAGCACCGUUACUCCGGCACCUCCGAGUUCUUAGCACACGUUCAGCGCGAUGACGAUCCUCGGGCUCCGAUCCAGCAAAGCGUCGAGGAAGAGUUCCGUCAGCACGACGGCGUGAUGAUGAUCUUGAUGUUCUACCGACGCAGGGCUUCGCCUAAGCACUGUAACGAUAUGAUCGAGGUGGAAUUUGGUGGCAGGGGGCACCGCACACGCCUAAGGAAAGAUCUCAUUGAUCAAUUGUGUGUCUAGAGGUGCCCCCUGCCCCCGUAUAUAAAGGGGCAAAGGGGGAGGGGUGCGGCAGCCAUAGGGGCGCGCCAGGAGGAGUCCUACUCCCGCCGGGAGUAGGACUCCCCCCCCCCCCAAUCCUAGUCCAACCAGGAAUCCUCAAAAGGGAAAAGAGAAGGAGGUGGCCGGCCCCCUCUCCUAGUCCUAAUAGGACUAGGGGGAGAGGGAGGCGCACAGCCCAUCUAGGGCAGCCCUUUCUCUCCUCCACUAGGGCCCAUGUAGGCCCAUUUGGCUCCCGGGGGGUUCCGGUAACCUCCCGGUAAUCUGGUAAAAUUCCCGAUUUCACCCGGAACAAUUCCGAUGUCCAAAUAUAGGCUUCCAAUAUAUCAAUCUUUAUGUCUAGACCAUUUCGAGACUCCUCGUCAUGUCCGUGAUCACAUCCGGGACUCCGAACAACAUUCGGUUCAUCAAAAUGCAUAAACUCAUAAUAACUGUCAUCGUAACGUUAAGCGUGCGGACCCUACGGUUCGAGAACAAUGUAGACAUGACCGAGACACGUCUCCGGUCAAUAACCAAUAGCGGGACCUGGAUGCCCAUAUUGGCUCCUACAUAUUCUACGAAGAUCUUUAUCGGUCAGACCGCAUAACAUACGUUGUUCCCUUUGUCAUCGGUAUGUUACUUGCCCGAGAUUCGAUCGUCGGUAUCCAAUACCUAGUUCAAUCUUGUUGCUGGCAAGUCUCUUUACUCGUUCUGUAAUGCAUCAUCCCGCAACUAACUUAUUAGUUGCAAUGCUUGCAAGGCUUAAGUGAUGUGCAUUACCGAGAGGGCCCAGAGAUACCUCUCCGACAAUUGGAGUGACAAAUCCUAAUCUCGAAAUACGCCAACCCAACAUUUACCAUUGGAGACACCUGUAGUACUCCUUUAUAAUCACCCAGUUACGUUGUGACGUUUGGUAGCACCCAAAGUGUUCCUCCGGCAAACGGGAGUUGCAUAAUCUCAUAGUCAUAGGAACAUGUAUAAGUCAUGAAGAAAGCAAUAGCAACAUACUAAACAAUCGGGUGCUAAGCUAAUGGAAUGGGUCAUGUCAAUCAGAUCAUUCAACUAAUGAUGUGACCUCGUUAAUCAAAUAACAACUCUUUGUUCAUGGUUAGGAAACAUAACCAUCUUUGAUUAACGAGCUAGUCUAGUAGAGGCAUACUAGUGACACUCUGGUUGUCUAUGUAUUCACACAUGUAUUAUGUUUCCGGUUAAUACAAUUCUAGCAUGAAUAAUAAACAUUUAUCAUGAUUUAAGGAAAUAAAUAAUAACUUUAUUAUUGCCUCUAGGGCAUAUUUCCUUCAGCCACCACACCACCCCGCAUGUAUGAGGGCCCGGCGCGACGCUCCGGUGGCAUUGCUACCCCCCCCCCCCAGUGCCCCCGUCCCGCCUAACCCUGUAGCGUUUGACCACGGGAUCUAGCCCUUUGACUUUGCACGGACGGGUUUUGACCAGUGGACCUCCCCACCCGGUUGUGUUAGGUCAGCCUAUAGGAACACUUUGGAGCAACAUCCGGGCCAGACCCACAGCAAGAUCCCCUCCGUGUAGACCCCACGCGUCCGUUUCCCCCUCCUGGUGCCUGCGGCGGCGCCGUCCGUGAGGGGGGGCACACCCCGGACACGCGUGCCGGGCGUUUGCAACCGCCACAAUACUUCCAGACUUGUGAGAGGCCGCCUAUGCAAGAUUUGGCGGCAUGCUAGCCCCCGGAGGCCGCCAGCCACAGCCGUAGACGCGCGAAGGGCAAUCCGCGUAGAGGGAAUUUUUCGGAGACUUCUCCAUCACCAAAAAUUAUGAAAAAAUACCAUCGUUCCUAUAGCACAUGUGCCCGCGUCGUGCAAAAAAACUCAUGAUUUUAUCGCGCUUCGAGUAUUUAGUAAUAUUGACGCCGCAUUGUUACCGCAGAACGUCUACUACCGUGUCAUCGCCGUCCAUGAGGGGGGGCCAUGCCCCGGAGACGCGUCCCGCCUCUUCGGACAUGCCACCACACCACCCCGCAUGUAUGAGGGCCCGGUGCGAUGCUCCGGUGGCAUUGCUACCCCCCAGUGCCCCUGUCCCGCCUAACCCUGUAGCGUUUGACCACGGGAUCUAGCCCUUUGACUUUGCACGGACGGGCUUUGACCAGUGGACCUCCCCACCCGGUUGUGUUAGGUCAGCCCAUAGGAACACUUUGGAGCAACAUCCGGGCCAGACCCACAGCAAGAUCCCCUCCAUGUGGACCCCACGCGUCCGUUUCGCCCCUCCAGGUGCCGGCGGCGGCACCGUCCGUGAGGGGGGCACACCCCGGACACGCGUUCCGGGCGUUUGCAACCGCCACAACACUUCCAGACUUGUGAGUGGCCGCCUACGCAAGAUUUGGCGGCAUGCUAGCCCCCGGAGGCCGCCGGCCACAACCGUAGACGCGCGAAGGGCAAUCCGCGUAGAGGGAAUUUUUCGGAGACUUCUCCAUCACCAAAAAUUAUGAAAAAAUACCAUCGUUCCUAUAGCACAUGUGCCCGCGUCGUGCAAAAAAACUCAUGAUUUUAUCGCGCUCCGAGUAUUUAGUAAUAUUGACGCCGCAUCGUUACCGCAGAACGUCUACUACCGUGUCAUCGCCGUCCGUGAGGGGGGGCCACGCCCCGGACACGCGUCCCGCCUCUUCGGACAUGCCACCACACCACCCCGCAUGUAUGAGGGCCCGGUGCGACGCUCCGAUGGCAUUGCUACCCCCCAGUGCCCCCAUCCCGCCUAACCCUGUAGCGUUUGACCACGGGAUCUAGCCCUUUGACUUUGCACGGACGAGCUUUGACCAGUGGACAUCCCCAUCCGGUUGUGUUAGGUCAGCCCAUAGGAACACUUUGGAGCAACAUCCGGGCCAGACCCAUAGCAAGAUCCCCUCCGUGUAGACCCCACGCGUCCGUUUCCNNNNNNNNNNNNNNNNNNNNNNNNNNNNNNNNNNNNNNNNNNNNNNNNNNNNNNNNNNNNNNNNNNNNNNNNNNNNNNNNNNNNNNNNNNNNNNNNNNNNNNNNNNNNNNNNNNNNNNNNNNNNNNNNNNNNNNNNNNNNNNNNNNNNNNNNNNNNNNNNNNNNNNNNNNNNNNNNNNNNNNNNNNNNNNNNNNNNNNNNNNNNNNNNNNNNNNNNNNNNNNNNNNNNNNNNNNNNNNNNNNNNNNNNNNNNNNNNNNNNNNNNNNNNNNNNNNNNNNNNNNNNNNNNNNNNNNNNNNNNNNNNNNNNNNNNNNNNNNNNNNNNNNNNNNNNNNNNNNNNNNNNNNNNNNNGACACGCGUGCCGGGCGUUUGCAACUGCGACAACACUUCCAGACUUGUGAGAGGCUGCCGGCGCAAGAUUUGGCGGCAUGCUAGCCCCCGGAGGCCGCCGGCCACAGCCGUAGACGCGCGAAGGGCAAUCCGCGUAGAGGGAAUUUUUCGGAGACUUCUCCAUCACCAAAAAUUAUGAAAAAAUACCAUCGUUCCUAUAGCACAUGUGCCCACGUCGUGCAAAAAAAAUCAUGAUUUUAUUGCGCUCCGAGUAUUUAGUAAUAUUGACGCCGCAUCUUUACCGCAGAACGUCUACUACCGUGUCAUCGCCGUCCGUGAGGGGGGGCCACGCCCCGGAGACGCGUUCCGCAUCUUCAGACAUGCUACCACCCCACCCCGCAUGUAUGAGGGCCCGGUGCGACGCUCCGGUGGCAUUGAGGGCCAUGGGGGGACGGGGGCCCUGGGGGUAGCAAUGGCACCGGAGCGUCGCACCGGGACCUCAACCGUGAGGGGGGCACUCCCCUGAGCCACGUGUCGGGUGCCUGCGCCUGCCACCAUGCUUCCACAACCGUAGGAGGGCCCACCGCAACGCCUAGCGGCAUUGCUACCCCCAGGUACCCCGUCCCGUCUAACCCUGACAAAGACGACCGCUGGGUCUAGCCCUUUGACUUUCGCCGGACGGGGUUUGACCGGUGGACCUUUUCACCUGGUUUUCAUAGCCCAGCCCAUAGCUAGACCCCCCAACACCGUCCCGGCCCAACCCACCCCAAGAUUCCCUCCGUGUCGGCUCGACGUGGUCGUUUCCCCUCUCCGUGACACGGUGGCAGCGACGCCCGUGAGGGGGGCACACCCCGGAGCCGCGUGUCGGGUGCCUGAGCCUGCCACUAUGCUUCCACAACCGUAGUAGGGCCCACUACGACACCUCGCGACAUUGCUACCCCCCAGGUACACCGUCCCGUCUAACCCUGACACAGACNNNNNNNNNNNNNNNNNNNNNNNNNNNNNNNNNNNNNNNNNNNNNNNNNNNNNNNNNNNNNNNNNNNNNNNNNNNNNNNNNNNNNNNNNNNNNNNNNNNNNNNNNNNNNNNNNNNNNNNNNNNNNNNNNNNNNNNNNNNNNNNNNNNNNNNNNNNNNNNNNNNNNNNNNNNNNNNNNNNNNNNNNNNNNNNNNNNNNNNNNNNNNNNNNNNNNNNNNNNNNNNNNNNNNNNNNNNNNNNNNNNNNNNNNNNNNNNNNNNNNNNNNNNNNNNNNNNNNNNNNNNNNNNNNNNNNNNNNNNNNNNNNNNNNNNNNNNNNNNNNNNNNNNNNNNNNNNNNNNNNNNNNNNNNNNNNNNNNNNNNNNNNNNNNNNNNNNNNNNNNNNNNNNNNNNNNNNNNNNNNNNNNNNNNNNNNNNNNNNNNNNNNNNNNNNNNNNNNNNNNNNNNNNNNNNNNNNNNNNNNNNNNNNNNNNNNNNNNNNNNNNNNNNNNNNNNNNNNNNNNNNNNNNNNNNNNNNNNNNNNNNNNNNNNNNNNNNNNNNNNNNNNNNNNNNNNNNNNNNNNNNNNNNNNNNNNNNNNNNNNNNNNNNNNNNNNNNNNNNNNNNNNNNNNNNNNNNNNNNNNNNNNNNNNNAUCUAAUUAUUUUGAAAAAAAAAUAAAAAGGAAAAAGAGAAAAUAAAUAAAAUAUGAAAAAAAAAUUAGAAAUCUAUGCCUACGGCUAUGCCGUCGGCAUAGCUACAGCCACAGAAGGGUAGAGCCAUGGAUCGAUGAUGUGGCAUAUGGCGCGGAUCGAUGAUGUGGGACCGUCCAUGGGCCAAGCCUAUGCCGACGGCAAGGCUGUCGGCAUAGAUAUGCCACCCCACGGACGAGUGAGCGUUACGGAUCGUUGACGUGGCAGAUCACGCGGAUCGAUGACAUGGCAGAUAUGCCGACGGCGACCGUUAGGCCCCGUCGGCGUAGGCUUCACGCCGUCAAAGGAUGUCGCCGCCCGGGCAGUCGGGCACACAGAUAUGCCGAAGACAGCCUCUAUGCCGACGGCCGCCGUAGGCAUAUUUAUUGGGAUGCCGACAGCCCAUCUGUGCCGACGGCCCCUGUCGGCAUAGGUGGACGUAUGCCGAAGGCUUUUCUACGCUGACGGCCUGACCUGUGCCGUCGGAUAGAUCCGUUGAUGCCGACGGGGGCCGUCGGCAUAGAUUUGGCCGUCGGCAAUUGGGUAAAUUCUGGUAGUGACGUUGUUCGUUUUGUAGUACAAAAUCGCUUGCCUCUUUUUCCGUCGCCCCGCACAUCCCUUUUUCCAGAUCCGAGGUCAAGAUCGAAGUGUUCGGCAUCCAAACUCUUGCCCUCACAUACCUAUAUAUUACUUCAGCCAGGGCAGAAAACCAACUAUGCGCCCGAGAAUUCUGAGCAUAUGGCAGGCCUCGCCUGCGAUCCGUCCUCGCCUCCAUGACUCGCGCUGUCCCGGAUAACUCAUGUGCUCACGAUGCGAUCCGCCACCUCCGUACGAGCCCCAAUCACAAGAUCAUCGGCCCCUCUCACGCCUUCCACCAGUCGCACUUCGGGGAGAUGUCGUCCAAUCAGGAAGGAGGGGAUCGAUGAGAAGGUCGCGAGAGGUGGCACGGCUGGGGGAGGAAUUAUGCUUCCAUUGGUCCCUUCUGCAGGAGUGGAGGAGAAACAGGAAGCCAUCGAUUCGCCAUGCAGGUCGGGUAGCUGGCUAGAGCAAGCAUACCAAUGCAUGCAUGACCUAUGAACAUACAUGUAUGCAUGCGUGCGACCUCGCCGGCCUAGCCGAUGCAAACUUGCACAGCGGCACGGCCUCAUCCGUCACCACGGAAUCCGGUGAGCUCUCUCUUCCGCCGUUGCCACUGUCACCAUCACAAGGAUACACUCGAGGCGAUUAUUCCCCCGACAAGUACUCCUUCGACUCCCCCCGCCCCCCGCUCGCCUCGCCAUCUGCUGUCCGAGCUCGAGGAGGCUUCGGCGUCCUGCAUCGCUGUGUGCAGGAGAUCUCGGCACUCUGUGGUAAAUAAGGUCACCACCCUCGAGGCCACGUUGGGCACGAGGCAGCCUUCCUCGCCAAACUGAUCGGGUAUGCCUUUAGGCUCUAACAUGAGCUGAACGAGCUGAUGCUGCAAGCCUCAACAUGUCAGUGGACGUGACCAGGAUGGCCUACUUGUAGAAGGUCACGCACGUUAUGGAGCAAUGGAGUCCUGCGAAACAAGUGCAUACACAAUAGCCAUGCAUUGGUAAAACCUUUAUGCGUGAUAAUUAUGAUCAGAGAUCUAUGCAUGCGUCAAUGUACGGACUACUAUAUAUUUUCUUCACUUUUCGGUCAAAAAAUUGCACUGCACAAGAUAAAUCAUACAUGGCGGAUCAUCAAAGACACCAUGCUGAAGUAGCAGAGAAACCCACGUGGCCAGUUAAGAUGAAUUCUUAUAUUAACUCGAUCCACUCCAUACAGGUGAGAGAGCCCAAGAGGUUUUUUUAUAUAUGUAUGAUCAGUGGAGCAAUCUUUCCAUGUUGACUGUUUUUAACGAGGAUGCCCUAUAGUAAUUCAUUGUGUUGUUUGUUGACCACGGAUGCAAAUUGUUAAUAGGCUUAUAUUGAUAUUAUGAUGCAUAAAAAUAUUAAGUGGCUUGAUGCAUUGUAUAUUACAUACAACAAGGGUAGUUAGCUGCUCUUUCUUGCACAGUGAUUACUCGAUGGUGAUUGUCAUUUUUUGAUGUCUGGUUCUAUGAUUUUUUUAUCCUCAAUUAUGCCUUUCUCAGCGAUUUAACAUCUUUAUCACCUAUAGUUUCAAGAAGAAAAACUAUACCAGAAAUUGUUGACAAAUUAAUAUUUAAUGCAAACCUGCUACCCCCUCCAUCCACACAUAUAUAGGGCCUAAUGCAUUUUUCGAGAUUGUCUUUGACUAUUAAGAUUAAUUGUAUAUGAGAUGUAUAAUGUCAAAAUUAUAUCAUUGGAAGCACCUUUCAUGUACGUAUUUGAGAGUAUGCUUUGUCUAUAACUUGCAUAAUCAUAUAUUUUGGCUCUAACAUGCGGUCAAAGUUACAUCAAAAAUGCAUUAGACCCUAUAUAGAUGGAUGGAGGGAGUAUAUACAAUUGAGCAGUCACAAGGUGACCUUGAUUUGAAGGUGAACAAAUGACCUAGGGGCUCUUUUAUCCCGUUGCAACGCACGGGCUCUUUUGCUAGUUUUCUAUCCCUAAUAAUAAUAAUAAUAAUAAUAAUAAUAAUAAUAAUAAUAAUAAUAAUAAUAAUAAUAAUAAUAAUAUAUAAUGCACAGAUUGACUCCGUGGGUUCACCGUCACAAUACGCUUUUUUCCCAUGAAUUUACGCUUUCAAUUUAAAUUUGAAACAUAUUCAAGGUGGUACUAAAUUUCUGUCUCGGUAAUUCAACGAGGCGAAUUCUGCGCCGGUUCGCCAACUGGCGCGCUUGUAAUUGGGCCGGCCCGUUUUUCCUUUAUAUUUUUCAAACCCAAGUAAAAAAGGUAGUUAAUGCGUCAGAAGGGUUCGAACUCAGGAUCUCUUCGCGGAGACCGUAGGUGCACUAACCACUAGGACACUAACUCAUUUGUGCACAAAUACAUGUUACCUUCUUUUAUUCUUUCCCCGGUCGCGGUUCUUAUUCCUUAUUCCUUUUUCUGUUUUCUUCAUUGCACGAAUUUGGUUCAAUAAAACGUACGUGUCGUGUCAAAGUCAUGUACUACUACUAGAAAACCAAUUAAAUAAGAAAACAAAGAAACUCACGAUGAGGACUUCCAGUUGAACCUUCCUAACCCUCCCAUAUAUAUGAUGCCCGGGAUCGCGUGCUCUCCUAUACCUAGGCGAGACGCCGAGACCUCGCAUCGAGGAAGAGCAGCGCCGAGUUCGAGGAAGCACGAUGGGCGUCCUUGGUCUUCCUCCCGAUCGAGAUCGGCCACGGUGUUGCCCGAGGUCGUGUGCAUGACUUCCUUGAUCUCUCACGACGCGUAUGUUUGUUACCUUGCUCACGUCCUCCUCGACUCGAUCGGCUCCAGAGAGCUGGAUCGUCUCUUGUGAUAUAUAGAUCGCAAUGGCGGCAAAGGUCCCAAGAACGCCCGCUGGACUUCACUCCAGAUCGAGCUCUACCAGUACCCGUUCACCCCAUGAGAUUUGUCCGCCGACCGUCUCCUCUGCUCAGCGCCGCCCCCGCUGGACUCUCCCGCUCCCGCCUAGCGCGUCCGUCAACCAUGAUCGGGCUCUUCUCUAUCGGCACCGAUCAUCAGUAGGUCGCCGCCUCCCAACCCCAUGCAUCGAUCAUCCUCCACUCAUUGCUCCCUUCAUUGGCAGUUGCAGACGUAUGUUCUCGCUGUUCGUCAUGGUGCAGUGCUUAAGGUGUUCCGGGAGCCGCUGGCUGGCGCAGGAAGAAGCGUCUCGCCGGUUUACCACUCCAUCGCCUAUUAAUGGCACCACCAAGGUAUGUUGAUCGAGGUCGAGGUUCACACAACAUUGUGAAUUAGAGAUAGAGUCGUGUGCUUGGUGUAGUGUGGAGUGGCCUGUGACUCUGAACGUUGUUCCAGCUUUCCUUUUUCUCAUAUACUUCCCAAGCAGGUAGAAGAGCGUUGAUCCCAAUUUUCAUGUUCUAACCUUGCUAUGAGAUGUAGAAGAGCGUGAACUACAUCCUGGUGAGGUGAUGGCUUUUCAUGCAGGAUGCAGCAGCAGCAGCAGCAUGCAGGGAUGGAUGAAAGUAAGUAGCAGACUAGCAUUUUGCACGUCUUAUAGUUCUCCCUAAUUGGUGAUACGUUGCAUCAGUAACGUAUCCGUUCAACAAUCCUUCUGUUAUUGCUGCUGCUCCGGCCUAUGAAGAUAUCUGUCCAUGCAUAUCUUCUUGAUGGACAGACAUAAUAUCUUGGAUGCCCAUAAAUAUGUUAGAAAACAUGGGUUGUGGGAAUCACUUCCUUUUACUUAACAUAUAUUUACAUACAAGUUUUGGCUUUUAUAUGCUUCAACUGCAGUGCCAACUGGGUGAGACUUCGCGGCGAGGACAAGAGCCCAAUUGGAGUGUCUGAUAAGAAAAAAUCCCGACAUCAUUUAUGCAUGAAAAAAUAACUCUAACCUGCAUGAGCAGACAGGGCCAAGCAAAGGUUGCAUGGACGUGUGAAUUAGUAUACAAGUCUCCUAUAUAUGCUUCAAAGAAAAACUCUGAGAUCCAUAGAUGAGCUAGGUAAGUACAAAGCUACGAAUUUUCCUGUAGCUAUGUGAGUUUGUGAUGUUUUCCAUAUGUAUUUCCUUAAGACAACAAAAGCAUCCUACUUUUCAGUCUAUAAGUUAGUUUAUGAGUUGAUCCAGUGCCAAACACAGUUCAGUUGAACAUGUUUGUUACAAUAUUUUUACGACAUGAGCGUGAAUUUUGAAGAAGUAAUUGCCGGGUUAGAUCGAAAUAUUAUAGUAUGUCUUUUAGAAAACGUUUCUUGAAAUUCAGAAUAAUUCUUUGAAUUAUCAAUUUCUUUUGACAACCAAGAUAUUUUUUCAAAAAUGCGAACAUUGCUUUAGUUUGUGAAUAAAUUUGAAAAAGGGUACAUUUUCUUGCAUUUGUAAAUAAAUUUUAAAAAUCAUGAGAUGAGAUGUGAACAAAAUGUGGUCAUAACCACUGAAGAAUAUGAUUUUUUUCUCCCGUUGCAACGCACGGGCCCUUUUGCUAGUAAUAAUAAAGCACGGAUUGACUCUGUGGGUUCAUCGUCACUUUUCAUUAAUAAAGUUGCAAAUAAUUACCCACCACUGCCAUCCAUAGGUGAAAAAAAUGUUUCGCUAAAGAUCUAAAAAAAGACAUUAGAAAAAGAUAAAAAAGAGAAAGAGCUACCCGACCCAACCCUUCACGACCCUGCCUCCCAAAUCCCAAUCCCAUCUCGACUCCAGCGCGCCGACUUUCAAAAAAAAAAGACUCCAGCGCGCCGCCACCUCUUGCCCCGCCCGGCCGGCGCUCCGCCUCCCGUCGCCGAGCGCCGUCGCCCCUCCUCGCCGCGCCGCCGGACCGCCUACCGUCGUCACGCGCUGCCAUGGCCUACCUUGCCGCCCCGCCUACCCCUACCCCAAGUUCCCCCACACCCGCGCCCAUCACCGGCAUCCAUACGCGCGACCUGUUUCUCCGUUGCCGGGCGGCUGCAGGAGGUGGCCGGCGUCGCCCCGUCAUCAAAUCCCCUAGCCGCUUGGUCUCAUCCGCCGCAUGCUGGCUGCCCGUACAGGAUUGACGCGCCCUAUAUCUGGCGACCCGCGGCUACUCCUCCCAGCCCCGGAUCUCCUCUCCUGCCACCUACGACCCACGGCUUCAAUGAUCCACGACAAGGGAUGAUGACCAACUCGGCUGCCCCCUUCCCCGUGCAGCUGCCUCUGAGGCUGCAGCAGCCUUCGCACGAGGCCACUACGGCGCCACCUAUGCUGUCCUGAAGUUCCGUCAGAUUUGUCAAUUUCAGUUUCAUCAGUUUUUGUCAGAUUAAGUUUCAUCAGAUUCAGAAAAUUCAGUUUCGUCAAAGUUUCAGUUGUAAGUUAAUUUCUCGCGCACGUUGGCGCUCGGCGCUCGACGUCGUCCACUUCCUCACAUCACUCGAGCCCAAGUGCAUGCAGGUUACACCAGCCUUUGAUUUAUAUACCUACCGUAUGUCCACUGAUCAGUGACAUGAAGGUUGGGCGCUCUGAGCUAGAACAUAAGCUGAUUGAUGAGAUGAGUUAAAAUGCUUCUGAUUGGUUAGACCCUCAAUAUUCCAAACUGAAGUCCAAGGAAGAAGGAUCAGGAAUAGCAGGUACGAAGCCCAUGAGUUAUUUGUCUUACAGGCAUGCACGUGAACAAGGUUCUACAUAGUUCCAGAUUUCCAAUGGACGCUGGUGUUGUUGGCUGACAUCUCUGGGGUUGUACAUCAUGAUGGUUACCAAGACACGACAAUGAUCUAAAUGCUACAGACCUGAAUGAAAUACCAUGACCGCAGGUCGUUGCUUAUUUGCGUUCGAAGAGGUGCAGCAAAAAGUGAGAAGCAACUGAGGUAAUCGCUGAUUGAAAAAAAUACAUGAUGCACUGAUGGAUUAUCAUGUAUAUAAUGCCUGUUAUUGGAAAGACUGAUGUUUUGCUCUGAACUUGUUUGUGUUAAUUUUUGGAGAGCGGUUUUUUGUAGGACGGGCUACACGGUACCCUCUAUCAUAGCCGUCCAAUGUGGGCUUUAGUGUAUUUGGAUGUGUGCCUAGAUUUGAAAAUAGUGGACGAGAUGUCUCAAAUAUCCAUGGUCUGUCAGAGCUUGCCAGUAAUUAACAGAGGAGGAGCAGUGCACUCCUUGCUGCAGUGGUCAUAUGUUUGUCCGUGCACUUUCUCACCUUUAAAUGACAUCUUUUUUUUCACUCACGCACGUCACCUCUCUCUCUCUUCUCAUUUCUCUCACACAACACCUCUGCUCCUUCAUCUCUCACAUCACCUCUCUCUCACGAGAAAAUGUUAUAUGCUCUCUAUCUCUAAAAACAUGCUCUUUCUCUCUGCUCUCUCUCUCUCAUAGCACCUCUCUUCUGUCUCACAUCACCUUUUUCUCAGAAAAAAUACGCUCUCACAUCACCUCUCAUAAAAAAAAUGUUUUCUGUGUGCUCUCUUUCUCAGAAAACACACUUCUUUCUCUCUCUCAUAGCAUCUCUCUCUUCCCUCACGUCACCUCUUUCUCAGAAAAACACGCUCUCUCACCUCCCCUGCCCACCGCUUCCCUGGAUCCCACUCCCCCUACCAUAAUAUUCCUAUUUCAAGGCAUGCAAAGUGUUUGAUGAAAUUUGACAGUAAAAUUGUUUUCUGUGCUGGCCGGUAGAACGGCCGCGUCGCCAAGCUGCAGCGGGUGCCGCGGCGGACGAGGCGCCGCUUGUGUCGGAGCCCGAAGCGCCCGCGGAGCUGGCACGGUGGUGGCUCUGCUGUAUGUGGGAGCUCGGUUCCGUCCUCAACUUCCUCCACGUGCGUGUCCCUUUUCUACCAUCAUACCCUACCCCCAGCGGCCGGCAGAUCGGCGUACUGGGUUUGCUUCUUCGCUUAGGCUUCUAGGAAUUUACUGCUAAUCUUUAGUUUUCUUACAUUGACUAUUUGAGCACAUGGUACAGUAGCAGCAUGGCUGAUGCCUGCUAUUUCAUCGCUGGAACAUACUUCAUUCAUUGAUUUACUAGAGUAGAUUUGAUUGGCACUGUAUUUGAUCACAUGCUCUGCUUAGGCAAUACAUGUUGUUCAGCCAGCAUCUCUGGGAUUGGUUAUGUUGGAAACAAUUUAAUGCCAGUAUUGAUAUUCCAUUCACUAAACUAAUAGAGAUCCAAACUGCAGGUUGCAGAAGGUGAUGUACCAAUAGUUGCAUCACAUGGCUUAGUCCUGUACAUGAGAAUUGCUUGAUCAGAUAUUCAGAUUCAGUCUUAUCUUCAUAGUUUUUCUAAUUGUUCGAUCUUGUGCAGAGCUGAAAUUGAAUUGUACAAGGAGCUUGAACCAUCGACUCGCUUACUGAUCUUGAAAGCAAUAUGCGACAUACGUGUCGAGGUCCGUGCUAUUGCCAUCCUAGGGAGGCAAUGAAGUUUUUCAAAGUGCCAAUCUUUUAAAAUGUGCAUUGCGGUAGAGAACUGUUACACCAUUCUGAUGUUGUAUGUCUCAAUUGUGUUUUGUGUUAAGUAUAUCAAUCCUAACUUGGACUGACAGUUUAAACCGAGUUCCAUUAUGUUGAUUCAGAUUGUUAGAAAGCUUAUUUCACUAUGCUGAGAAGCGAUACAGGGGCAUAAAGCAAGCGAGCAGGUGUGUGCAGCGACCUGCUACUGCACUAAUAGCCUUGACAGAGCACCGGGGCCGGCUCGACAGGGCAUGCCGCCUGCCGGUGGACACCUGGAUGUGCGCGCCGGAGAUGGACCCGCUUCGUUGCCUCUGCAGCCUAGACAGAGCUCCGCCAGUGCUGGUGAUGGCGCUCUCCAUCUACUUUCUCCACCGUCUAUCAGAGAGUAGAGAUCAUAUCGUGGAUUUGUUUUUUCUUCAGAGACGUGCUCCCGUCGUUGUUGGCUGUCGAAUUUGCAAUGCAAUCCAUCCCUAUGUCGAUGUCUUAACCACUUCGUAUUUCGGCACAAUCCGCAGAACAUAGCAGCUGCCGCAAUUUACCCAUUGAUUUCUUGGAGUGAUCCAAACCUAGGAAAGCCUGCUACUUGUGCAAACAACAGGGUAAGAAGUUUCAGUUUUCUUACUAAUGCACCUCAAUUUGAAAGGUUAGAACAUUUUAUUCACCCGUCCUAUUUUUUAUCUAUACUGAUGAUCAUUUUUUCAUCUCUGUGAUCUUCUUUGCUCCAGUUGUGUUAAUACUUUGUUUGCACGUCAGUGGAAAUUAAAAUUUCUUGCUACCAUGAGAGUUACUCCAUGUCAGUAUGUACAUGCAGAUGUAAGCAAUGGAGAAACUCGUGCAGAUGAUGAUUGAAGCAUUCUUCACGAAUUUUCCAACCUAAACUGGCUACAGAGUUGGGGAAAAGACGAGUCUAGGCUCUUGAUGAACACAUCUUCUUUCCCAGAUGACUAACAGUUGGCACCUCUAUACAUUACAUCAGGCCAACGCUACAAAGCCCCUGUAUGCCUCUGCCUGCCUGCCUCAAUGGACAUUCCGGUCACAAAAAAGUAGAUAAAAAUACUAAUCAGUUUGUCAAAAUACAUGUUGGUUAUCUUAUGACCAAGUAUAGCUGUCAGCAGAGUACAAGAAAAUAUGUUUCAAUUUUUCCAUGAAGCAAACUUAUAUUAUGAUUAUCACAUUUUGAUCUUGGAGUAAUGGUCGACUUUAGUAGAUGUUACUGCAGUAUACACCAGUCCCCUAUUUCUACCUACAAGUCUGAGCUCCAUCGGAAUAAUCAGAUUAGUGUAUCACAACCUUGAUGUUUUUAAACAUGCAUAUUUUGUAGUUAUUUUAGUAUUAUGCAGAAUGCAUACCUAUCCCUCGAAUUUAUGUAUAAAUUCUGCAAUUUCUUGGCAUUUCAGGUUUGGGAAUAUUUGACUCAGAGCUUUUGCUGAAUGGUAUUGUCGUCCAGAAGCUAGAGUUCGAAAGGUAUGUCCUGGUGCUCCUCACUUUCUGGGAUGAUCAAUCUCCUAUUAUACAUGGCGACGUACACAGGACAAGCCCAAGCUAGCUGAUCAAAAGGCACACAAUCUGUGUAUGCAGCAAGAGUUGUUGGCGGCUAAAAUCAUGAAGCAACGGACUAACAAAUUGUGGCCAGCAUAUACGCAGGCGAAGAUAGCCAAUGUAUUUGCAUGUUUUCUUGACUUAGACUACAAUGCAUUUUCCAUGAAAUAAAUUAUCUUGCCAUCUGCUCUUUAGAUACAGACAUACAAUAGAUUAAAUGUAUAGACGUCGGCACAAAUUUCAAAUUUUGGGACGUAACCAAAAUAGUUGGCUAAACUUUGGGAGACAAAGAGAAUAAUUGUAGUUGUGUACAACGAGAAGCUCCCUUUCUUUUGAAAUCAUAGUCUGAAAUCAUACUAUAUAAGAGGGUAUUUUUGCAACAUGUGCAUUUUCUUACUUCCGAAAUCAUACUAUAUCUUCCCUAAUACUUAUAUAUAUAUAUAUAUAUAUAUAUAUAUAUAUAUAUAUAUAUAUAUAUAUACUAAUAAUAAAGCAGUUACUGUUUCUGGGCGUCCGUCGUCGCUAGCGAUUUUGCAUAAAAGUCCCUUGGUUUAUAAGAAAUUAACCCGCAGUCCCUGUUUUAGUAGGUCUCUAUAUAACAUUUCAAUUUUACAAAAAAGCCCCUCUAAUCCCGCACGGGCGCGAAGCGGACCGCGCCGCCGCCCGCAGCUCCCGCCUGCCCUCGCUCCCCUCGCGCCCGCAAGCUCCCGCCUGCCCUCGCUCCCCUCGCGUCCGCAAGCCGCCUCGCCGGCGACCCCACCCCUCCGCCACGCCCCGCCAUCGGCGACCUUCACCGCCAGACCUUCGUCUGCUUCGCUGCCUCGCCCCUCUCGCUUCUCCUCCUUCUUCUCAAUCUCCUCUCACCUCUCUCCCUCUUUCUUGCUGGACAGGGGCCUCCAUGGUGCCGCCGACCCUCAAUCUCGCCGGAUCCGGCCGCCCCCACGCCAAAUCCGCUGCAAAUGGAUCCACCCCCGGCCGGAUCCGACCGGGCCCCGCUGUCGUUGCCACCGGAGCGCUCCUCCUCCCCACCGUGGCACAUCCUCUCUAGGUCGCCGGAUCCAGUGCCAUGCCGGCCACGGCCAGAGUUGGAGGAGCUGUUGUCUACUACCUUUCCCUAAAGCGGUGAGCCCUCUACAAUGGAGACGACGUCGUCUCGUCGUGCACACCACGGGGGUUAACGGCGGAGCAGAAGCCCGCGCCCCUACUCCCCACCGCGCCAUAUCCUCUCCAGGUCACCGGAUCAGGCGGAGAUCCCUGCCAGCCGAUGAUGAAUCAUACCCUUCAUAUAUAUACAUCCCCACCCCCCUCAAGAGAAAUCUGGAGGCAAGAAUAGGUUUAAGUUCUCCCACGGCUGCUCUUCUAAUUUUUUACUUAAAUUAGGUAAAGAUUUGCUUGUUCUCUCUCUGCAAUUCAAAUGUGCUAGACGCUUGAAAUACUUAACCUCAUUUGGUUUAGAGAAAUAAAUAAUUCACCCAGAUAGUAGAAUACUUAGACGACUUUGAGAAACUUUGGUCAUUAAAACUGAGGAUAUAUGAGUGAGCAUAGAAGAACACAAGUCUAUUCAAAGCAACAGAAUGUAGUAGUUACUUAACAGGCCAGAUUAGUUUCUGUAGUUACCUAUUUUUGCUCUGUCAAAGUGUAAGAUAAUGUUCAUCUCAAUCCAAGAGGUGUAAAUGAUCAUGCCAUCUAAUAAUGGUAUCGAUGUUUGGCUUUGUUUGGCGACUGGAAUUUUCUAUUUCGAAAAGUUACUGGUGAUGGUACAUCAGAAUCGGCAAACUCUACAGGGUUUAAGCAAGUGGUACUAAAAAGUACUUCUAGAAAUUUACAAUGCCUAGGUGGUUUGAUGUUCCAUGUUCAUCACUUUUGCGAAUACUUUGAUAGGACUAAAUGAAUAACAGAACCCUUUGUGCUCUAUAUGAUUUACCGAGAGGAUUGGGCUAGGAGUUAGUUUAAUUUGUAUGUUAGGACAAAGAUGAUUCAGUGAUGAAAUUACAGUUGCUAAUUCAAUGUAUAGAUCCUACUCUGUACACAUUGACAUUCUUAUCAGCAAUUUAAUAUGUCCUAUCUUUUUGACCUCGGAACAGUAGGGGAGCCCCUAUGGUAUUUUAAUAUGACCUAUCUCAUUCGCCGUUAUUUCUGCUGAAGAUUAUUUGAAAUUAUCAGGCAGUGGCCCUCUUCAAGUCCUACUUUGGUGGAACUUUUGAUCAAGAUGCUAUCAGGAAUAACUUGGUGCUAAUAUACAAACUUCUUGAUGGUAAGGGCACAUCCAGUUUUGGACUUUGCUUGCUGCUUCACUUUCCACCAUGGAAUGUUUUUUGUUUGUAAUAUUGACUCUGUGCAACAGUGCAGAGAUUAUGGACUUUGGUUAUCCUUAGAAUCUCUCACCUAAAUUUUUGAAGUUAUACAUAACCCAGGAACGUGUACGGUCGCCAUUUUCCUCCAAGGUCAGGAGUAUAUGAAUAAUGAGUCUGCUGUAUUGGAUUUACAAAAAUAAUUAUGUAUGUUCCUAUUUAUUUUCUAGGUAAGUAACUAAAUCACAUAUCCUUUUCUCUAUAUUGAUAGCCUUCAGAUAAGCCUGUUCUAAAUGCGACCCUGCAAGUUAUCGGUGUUGUUGGUUGGAGAAGAGAUGGUAUUGUGUACAAGAAGAAUGAGGUAUUUGAAUUAAAUUGUAGGGAGGCUUCAGUUGUAUUCAGAAAAAAAACAUAGCACCAACAUUUAUAAUGGUCCUAGGUUCCUAUCAGAGCGGGGGCUACUAGCAAUGCCAUCAUCCUACAUACAUUUUAAAAUGCAUCUCAGUUCUAAUACAUAUUGUACAUGAACCAGCAUUCGUGUUAGAACAAUGGCCCAUAUUUUCCUCUGUUUUUGUUUCUUUGUUUUCUUUAAUGUCAUCUCAUUUUUACAUUCUGUUCUUCUCGCAUGUUAGGUUUUCUUGGACAUUAUUGAGAGCAUAAACCUUCUUAUGUCUUCUAAAGGGAUUUUAUGGACCAUCAAAUUUUACUUAUCUGGUCUGAGGUUUCUCGUGUCUUUCCUGUUCAGCUAUUUGAUGUCCAUUGUGUAUAUUUCUUACAUUUCUGCAGGGCGUGUUCUAUGAUGUGACGUGACUGGAAAGAUUCCAAUGAAGUGUUUCCUUUAUGGAAUGCGCCUAUCUGAAGUUGGGAAUAAAUGCCAAAAUUUAAAUGGCUUAGUAACAUCAUUUUUUCUUUGGGAUGUGUGUCUCCUAUUGAGUGUCAUGGCUAUUGGCAUUCUUAUAUUCAACAUAAAAAGGUAUUCAUAGCUUUUUCAGGCUAUUGGCAUUCUUAUAUUCAGCAUAAAAAUUAUAUUCAUAGCUUUUUCAGAGUACGCAUAAAUGCUCAAUAAACUAUUGCAUAGAAUUUUAAUUAAGCGACAUGUGAGAAUUUUUCUGGUUAUAACCUUUAAGAGGAAAUUAGUUUAUUUUGGUAGUAUUUUUCUCCUAACUUGAAUGAAUGCAAACUUUGUAUGUUAAGGUUAUAAGCACGCUUACUUGGAUGGUUGGAUGCACAAACCUCUAACCACAUUAGUGAACUACAGUGUCAUUUUUCUGGCCCUGUAAAAUUGUAAUUAUGCAUAUUCAAUGCGACAUUUGCACGCUAUAAUUCUGUAUUCGGUGCUAAUAUGCUCGCUACCAUGUUGGUCUUCUGAAGCCUUCAUCUCUGCAGGGUCAAACUUUUGAUUUUGGCACUUAGUAAACUGCAUCUUGUGCAUUGGAGGAGGUAGCCCCUGGACUGGUGAAGACGUGAAGGGCGACACGAGGAGGCUUGUGGUGGUUCCAGGAGCAUCUCUUCGACAAGUAGCAGUGCACUACGUUGGACAGCUACCAACCGAGACGGCCGGCUGCCUGACAAGGACACCAUUUCUGGUCUUACAGUCCUGGAGCGGUGAGCAUCUGAGCUUCCAUCACCGAUCUGAAUAACAAACUUGCGGCGCUCCUUAGCGUCACUGAUUGAAACAUUAGCAACAACAAUACUUGCUUCAGGUGUGUGCUCCUCCAAUCAAUAUAUUUACAACUGUGUGUCACACGCUGUUUAUUGAUGAAAUUCAGGAUAGACACCUUAGCGUCACUGAUUGUAGCAUUGUCCAUCUAAUCUUCCUUUUUCUGUUCAUAAUACUUGAUAUGUCUGAUUACUAGGCUUAAGGAGUAAAGAACGGCAAGCAUGGAUGACAGAGGGACAACACCUGCUCCAAAUUUGAAAAAUCCAGGAGGUUUACAACAGGCAUGCAAGGUCCUCGAAAAGUUCAAGUAAGUGCUAUACGUGACGUAGAGGAGAAUGCUAUAUAGGACAUGCACAUGUAGUUGCUGCUUCUAAAGAACGGCACAAGUUUAGACCAAACGCUGGGAGAAUACAAAAGGUAUAAUUGCAUAAAGUUUACUACUGUAAUAGAUCCAGGUUGCAGUGAUGAAGAGGACAAUGAUGUGUAGGACAUAGUGGUCGUUACUUCUAUAGAUUCAGAAGGAUGCAGGUUCGGAUCAAUUGUCAAGAUGAUACAAAAGGUGUUGCACAAAUUUUACAUACUACGUUGGGUGAUUUGUUUGGCAUUCAUUCUCUGUUAUGCCUGAUGCAUGUGUCUUAAGCCUACUAAUAACUUUUUGGAUCAAUGGUAAAUCUACUGAACAAACUCCUGUCUUAUCCCUAUUGUGUGUCUUAAGGUUAAUCUAUUCAUGGUUAGUUUUCCUUACUGUACAAAUAUCUUCUCUUUUUUGUAUAUUUUCUCUUCUCUGUCCUUUACGGUAAUAUAGACCGUGCUCACAUUGUUGCAGCUUGCAAUUAGUUCUAGAUUUGUUCAUGAGUGUCAUUCGAGGUCAGAGUAAAUAUUUUGGCAGAGUAAACAAUGAUGGAAGUGUCAUACAAUUUCGUCUUAUAUAGCUAUAACAAUUUUGAUACAUAUUUUUAUCUGAUUAACUUGCACUUCUGCACCACCAUAACAAGCGGUGGAGAUCUGCCUCUUUGUUUUCAAUUAAUGUGAGAACUUCUAGCCUUCUAGAACAAGAGUGGUAGUUUCUUUAACUUUGUGUUGUAACAAAUAUUGUAUAUGGUCAAUCCAGGAUGAUCUACUUAUUAACUUUGUUAAUCUGGUUACAGUCAAUCUAGGGGGUGCUUCUUUCGCUUCGGUAUUUAUCAGUAAUAUUGGUAGUUCUCUGUAGUACUCUGUAUUAGUUUUUACCUCUUUGUCCUUCAUGAUUGCUUAGUUGCAUUGUUUUUGCUUCUGACUAUACUGCUCUGCUACAGAUGAUAACGCCAUUUGAUAAACGUUUGGAAAUUCAAGCCUGGUCUUGUUCCGCAACAUGUGACCUUCUACUUCUUAAUGGACUUUAAGUUUUAGUCACCCUUAUAUAGUUAGGUAAUAUAACAAGGUUAUUGUUUAGAUCAUAUAAUCAAGCAUGUCUGCUUAUCGAAAAGUUAAGCUUUCCCACCUUGCACGCAACUGCUACCAUUAUUGCUUAGAAGAGGCAACUUAGUGAUACAAUCUCUUGACUAUAAUGCAGUUAGUGAUUGCCAUGUUUGUUGAAUUAAAGUUUCACCUGUCAGAUCAGUUUACACACAUUGAAUUUUACUUAGUGUGCCUCUAAGGUUUUACCUUCUACAAAGCUAUAGCACCUACAGGUGAUCCGCUUUUUCUUCUUCUAGAUCCCCCUGUGUGUGUAUAAUCUUCUUCUAGAUCCCCCUGUGUGUGUGUAUAAUCGACAGACAUUGUCCUUCUAAUUUCUUUUUCCAGUAGAUGAUUGUGGACAAAGUUUCCAAUCCAUGCCUUUUUGCUAUACUAAUUUUUUUGGGUGAUGCAGCAUAAGUUAUAUAAUUGCUGCACUUAAGUAACUGAUUUAUCUGGCAAUAGAUUGUCACAAUGAUAGAUCUAACCUUUGUGCCAACAGUCUGAAAAUUGUAGCAUUAUGCUUUAAUAUUUUUUAAUGUUCUUUAGGUGGUUGUUUCUCAGAAGUAGUACACUUGGCAUAGCUUUUCAGAAGACAACAGUUCAGUAGGAAGCAAGUGAAUGAAACAUUUUCGUUGUUUUCUACUCCAUAGUUAUGUACAAACACACAAGUGGUGCUUAAACAUUUUGUUGCUAUUUAUCCUUUCAUGAGCCGGAUGUGCC
This 55099-nucleotide long non-coding RNA is filed under the name Triticum aestivum (bread wheat). RNAcentral describes it as "long non-coding RNA (TAES_LNC024974)". The record is from RNAcentral. Lineage: Eukaryota; Viridiplantae; Streptophyta; Magnoliopsida; Poales; Poaceae.